AACGACUUUUAUGCUUUGAACUAAGGCUGUUUGAUAUUAAGACCCAUCUGACGCUAUUAGAUAAAAUAGAGUUGGGAUAAAAGCAUAUGGGAUAUGCUUCUGCGUUUUUAAUGGCAUCGCAAAAAAUAUAUCGUAACCAACUCAUCGCGAUAUGCGGAACGCAAUAUUACGUACGGAAACAAACAGAACAUUUUCCUUCGUACUUUCUCACCACACGUAAUGCAAUCUUCCCACAAUCCCAAACAAAGCCUAAACUAACGUGCAUAGUAUGAAAAAAGAAAAAAAGAAAAAAAAAUCAAAGAGGGCCAUUGUGUUCGGCUGGGUAUUCGACUUGCUCUAGCUCGGAUCGUAAUUAAAUAAGCCGAGCUUGGGUUACUGGGGUCACCUGUAUUAGGCUUCAAAAGCUCAUAUAUAUAUAUAUAUAUAUAUAUAUAUAUAUAUAGAGAGAGAGAGAGAGAGAGAGAGAGAGAGAGAAAACUAGGUUGGAACACUAUCAAUAGCACCAAACUAUUGGUGCUAUUGAUUUUUUAGCCCUUAAAUUGAAAACUAGGUUGGAACACUAUCAAUAGCACCAAACUAUUGGUGCUAUUGAUUUUUUAGCCCUUAGAUUGAAAAAUGGAUGGUUAGGAUGAUGUGGGCCCCCUAGGGUUGAGUGAGUGGUUGGUUGAAUAGUAUAAUCUAACGAAUAAAAAUAAUCAUAGGGUUAAAUCUAACGGCGGAAAACUCGAUAACACCAAAUUCUUUGUGCUAUCGAUAGUACCCCAGCCGUCCGGCUAUGGUGCUUGUAAAUUUUUUACCGUUAGAUCUAUAUCUUUGAUCAUUUUCACCUGUUAGAUUAUAUUAUUCAACCAACCACCCACUCAACCCUAGGGGGCCUACAUCAUCCUAACCGCACAUUCCUUAAUCCAAGGGCCGAAAAUUUACGAGCACCAAUGACUUGGUAUUUUUAAAAGUAUAGGAGCUCAAUUCUAGCUAUAUAUAUCAAUUCAUAAACUAAUUUUCUUAGUAUUAUGCUAUGGCAUUUUAUACAUUUAUUUUGUAUAUUAAACUAUAAAAAAUAUUCUCGUGUCAAGUUCUAAAUAAUGUUCUAUGAAAAUCAAAUCGUAAAUUGCUCUAUAUCAGAAAUUUCAAAUAGCUCGUUUAGGGCUCGCAUUCGCUCGAGCUCGACUCGAAUUAAUUUUAAGCUGAGCUUUAGCUUGAAUUUAGCUCAAAACUAUUUUCAAGCCAAACUUGAGCUAAGUUAAGCUCACUCGAGCUCGACUUGCUUUCAUCCUUAAUUGCACGCAGUCAAAAAUGCAAUAAAAAAAUAUUCUAUUUAUUUCUGUAAGUGACAACUACUUAAUCAAAUAACACUUGUUCAAUUAGAAUACACUUUUUGUAGUUGCAAUGAUAAACAUUAUAAGCCUGUUUGUUUGGGUAAAAUGGAGAAGGGUGAAGUCGUUUUCGGCCAUAAACGAUUACUUCUAUUUGGUUCGCAGUAUUAAAGAUAUGAUCGAAACUCGAAUUAUCUAAAACAGUAUAAUUGACUUUGGCCUCCCUGGGCCGAAGUCAAUUAGAGUGAAAAAAGGUGAAAAAAAUAAUAAUACAAUGGGCAAUACUAGUUAUAUUUAAAUAUAUUUAAUUGUAUAUGGUACUUAUUACUCUUUUAAUUUAAAAUAUGAUAAAAUUUGAUUAAUUAAGUUUUAGUAUUUUUUUAAUUUAGUUUGUAUAUUUAAAAUGCAAUGAAAAUUGCUUAGUUAAGUAUUAAUUUUUUUCUACUUUAUAAUUUUAUUAUUGUAUUAUUAUAAUUUGUGUAUAAAAAAUAAUUUAGUUGUUUCAGAUUAAAUUUUUUAAUUAUAUAAGAAUAUAAUUACAUUAUUUUUAUUUAUUAAAUAAUAAUUUAUUAUUUAUUAAGUUAUUUACACUACAAUAAAAACGGUAUAUAGCGACACUUUUAAAUAUCGAUAUAGGUUAAAAAAAAAUGCUGCUGGCUAAAUUACCGACACUUUUUAAAAGUGUUGCUAAAUGUGGGGUCGCUAUAUGUGAGGCCACCAUAAUGUUUGGCACCCACUCCUCCAGCGACCCGUGGCGGAGGAACACAUGGCGACAGUAAUCCUCUACGGUCCCUGCGAGAUUCUCACGGCCGAACUCCAGCCACCGGAACCCUAUCUCGUCGGCUGCGGUGGCGGAGGAGAAGUGGAAAUGAUGAUUAAUUUUUCUUUUUCUUUUUUUUACUUUUCUAUUUGUAAUUGGGCCCGAGUGGGGUGGAUGGAAUUGGUUGAGUAGAGGAACUUUUUAUUUUUGAUUAGAUUGGACUUUAUAUUUAGGACUUAAUAGAUUUUUUUAAAAAGUUUUGGCAUAAAUGGGACACUUAUACAAAAGUGUCCCAAAAAUGUAUCCCUAUAAUCUAAUUCUGUUGUAGUGUUAUUAUUUAUAUAUAAAUUAUUGUUUUAUAUUAUGCAAUUUCUGCCAAACAAACAGUAGAACAGAAAAAAUUUUACUUUCAUAGCUAUGAAAACAAACAGUGAGAGAAAAGUAAUUUUCACCGAACUUCACUUUAACUCAAAAUUCAGUUUCAGUGAAACAAACAGGGUCUAUGCGACAGGCUCUAAGUUAUGAGAUGGCCCAUUCGACAUUACAAGUCAAAUGAUCCACACACACACUACGCAUUACGUUCUAGUGCGUGGGUCCAAAUGAUAAAAAGGGCCCUUUUAACGUGUCACAAGCAAUAAAAAAACUAAGCCAUCAAAAUUGCUCCACUAUAGAAAAAUUCAAUAUCCUCCACAAGUUUUUUUGCCACGCUAACCCAGUUUACUUUUUUAGUGUACCAAUUCAAAUCCCUCAACCAACUCAAACACUUGCAUAUGACUCGUUUUUGAAGCAUAUUUAUUGCUCCUUAAUUUCUCACAAUCCAUAACAUAGAGAUCAUAAAACAAAUAUACAGUGUCACUUCAUAAACAUGGCUUAUGUGAAAGGUGUUUUAGCCAUUGCUAUUUUCGUCGUGGCUUCUUGUGUUAUACAUGUCGAGAGUCGGGUCGCGAGGAAAGGCCUAGGCAUAAGCAUCGGUGAUGGCGGCGGAGUCGGUAUCGGUGCCGGAACAGGAAUCAGUGUGGGCAUAGGAGAUGGUAGUGCCUCCGGUUCUGGUUCGGGCUCAGGGUCUGCAUCCGGGUCUAGUUCUGGCUCUGGUUCCGGAGCUAGCUCAUCUGCCGGUUCGGGUGCUGGUUCAUCUGCUGGAUCAGGUGGAUCGUAUGCUGGGUCCGGUGCAGGGUCCGGCGUUGGUUCGGGCUCGGAACACGGUCAAGCGCACGGAUCGGGCCAAGGGCAAGGGUUAGGUUCGGGUUCAGGUUCGGGUUCAGGGCAUGGUGAAGGCUACGGAGAGGGUUAUGGCUCGGGUGAGGAUUCUGGGUCAGGUUCAGGUCAUGGUGAAGGAUACGGGGAAGGUUACGGGUCAGGGUCAGGGUCCGGGUCGGGUAACGGUUCUGGAUAUGGUUAUGGCGAAGGGCGCGGAUAUGGAUCUGGAAAUGGUAGUGGAAAUGGUAAAUACUAAAUAGAGGCCUAAGUUUACCAUCCUAGUUUUUGGGCCACCUCUAUGUACUUAUAAAUAAUGAGAUGGUGAAUAAAAAUAAAUAGUUAGUGAGUUACCCCAAUAAUUUAAUUACUUUGGAACAAAUUUAUAUAUUGCAUGAUAUUAACAUGAUGAAUCAACAUAAUGAAUAUCAUUAUAUUCUUCAACAGAAACUGCUUUAAUUGUGAUCCUCUUCACUUUCAAUUUUUCAGACUUAGAUGAUUGUAGUUACAAAAGCUAAAAAAAUUUAUCAAAUUAAUUAAUAAUUAUAUCAGAUAUAAGAGUUUUAGUUACUUUUCGGCACAUAAAAUGGGAACAGUUAAAUAGCUAAUAGCGUCAUUAACUUAAAUAAUUUAAUAUUCUUAGUCGAUACACUACAACAGAAUUAGGUUAUAGCGAUACAUGUUUAGGACACUUUUGUAUAAGUAUCACAUUUAUGCCAAAACUUAAAAAAAAUCCUACUAAUGCCUAAAUAUAAAGUCCAAUCCAACUAAAAAUAAAAGGGUACUCUACUCAACCCACUCCACUUAGCCUAUUCGGCCCGAUUACAAACAAAAAAGAAAAAGAAAAGAAAAAGAAAAGAAAAAUCAAUUAUCAUUUUCCCUUCUCCCCUCACUCAAUCGACUGAAAUCCUAGACGAAGAUCAUUUCCUCUCGUCCUCCUCUGCCACCGCAGCCAACGAGGUAGAGUUCCGGCGGUUGCUAAAUGCUUAAAUAAAUGUUGGUAAAUUAGCAGCACUCUUUUAGAUUAUAGCAACACUCUUUAACUGUCACUAUAUAUCUAGCGACUCCACAUAUAGCAACACUUUUCAAAAGUGUCGGUAAAUUUAGCCAGCAGCACUUUUUUGAUCUAUACCGAUAUUUAAAAGUGUCGCUAUAGACCGUUUUUGUUGUAGUGAUACUACGGAAAGAAAUAGUAAGUUUGAAUCUCUCCCGACUCCUUGUGAUUCUUUAGUACAAUUUAUAUGCGUACAAUAUUUGAAUAAAAUUUGAUCAGAGUACAAAAGUAAGUUUCAUUAAAAGAAUAAAUAAACACAAUAUUGUACACAUAAUAAUGUUUCUGAGAUCUGAUUCAUCAGAACACUCCUUAUUUAUAAUCUGAGUCCUAUGCUUAUAAAUUGGAUAGUCACGCAUUUUCCAAGCUCACAUGUCAGUGUUCGGUACAUUAAAUAAUUGUAAUUUAUUCAGAAUUAAGCAUAUAUAAAUAAGAGUACAAAUUAUAAUAAUAGUAGUAAUAAAUAACAUUAAAGUUCAAAACACCAAGUUAUACUCAACAAUAAAAACCUUAUUUUAUUCUGAAAUGGACACCCUUUAGCUUUUUUUUAAAAUUUGAAUUUUUAUAGUUAAUCAAGUUAAAAUAUUUGUUAAAUUUCAUAGAUCAAUUAGCUAUUAGCAGUUUGUUAUUCUAUUUUUUUUAAUUUAAACAAUUUUAAUAGAACUAUCAGCCAAUUCGGUAAAAUUUUAAUUUAUUUGGCCAAACUAAUUCAAAUUUUUUUUAAAACAUAAAAUGUUCAGAAAAUCUAAAUAAAGCAAAUAGUAAUUCAGAGAGCUAUUUCAAAAUGGCUUAUAUAUUUUCUGAACAUGUGUGUAACACCUGCUAAAAUUAAAAGUUAAAAAGAUCUCAUCAAUAGAUUAAAAAUAUAGUAGUAACUCAGAGGACUAUUUCAAAACCCCUAUAUUAAAAAUAUAGGGGUUCUGGAUCCAACGCAAACCUAUAUGAGCUUGAGAAUGUGAUAUAUAUGAAACUCAGUCAAACUAAAAGUUUAAACUUAUUAGGUUUGAACUCAUUAGUAGAUAUCAAUUUUUUACUCCUUUGUUAAGCGAACUCACUCAUUUGAGAUCAUGCGCUUUUUAAGUUGCGUUAUUCUGCUAUUCAUCAGAGCUCAUGCACCUGACCCGCGCCUUUCUGGUCCAACCAUAUUGAAUGCAUUAACCAUCUAAACGCAUGCGCCUAACCCAUGCCUCUCAAACCAAUUCGUUUUGGGGGGUGCCAAACCGUCAUAUCACGUAUUGUGACUUCUCUCAGCGAACAUGUCAUAUUCGUAAGAGCCACUCACUAACUUGAUCGCAAGUUUAAGCCUAUCAGGCUUGAACCCAUCAGUAUUCUUUACUCAUUUGUUAAGCGAACUCACUUAUCUGAGACUAUGCACUUUUUAAUCUGCGCCAUUCAAGAACUCAUCCGAGGCCAUGCACUUAGACCCGCGCCUUUCUGACCCAACUAUAUUGAAUGCAUUAACUAUCUGAACCUAUGCGCUUAACCCAUGCCACACCUCUCAAGCCUAAUUCUCUUCGGUGGCGCCAAACCAUCAUAUCGUGUUUCGUGACUCUCUCAGCAAACCCGUCGUAUUCAUGAGAGUCAUCAAUUCAAUUACACCAUAUCAUUUAGAUAAAUAGUCGAGGAUUGUCAAAUCAUCCGCUCUAAUACCACUUGAUGGAGAGUUUUGAGGCCGGGACAAACCAACAUGAAUCAAGAAUAUGACAUAUUGAAUGCAAAUCAUUCGACCUAAAAGCUUAAACCUAUUAAAUCUGUGCCCACUAAUAUACAUCAAUCAUUUUCUCUCUUAUUAAUAUUAUCUGAUAUUAGACUAUUCACGUGUGAACCCUUAACAAUUCGGUGCAUCAAUUAGCUAUGCACACCAGUAGGUCCCCCAAUAACGUUGAUAACGAAAAUCGCGCUUAGUGGGUGUUAUUAAAGCGCUAAUCUUAAUAUUUAAGAUAAAACUCAUUGAAUCGAAUUUAAUUAUUAUUUACUGGUUGAAUUUGACUAACUUCAGUGAAUAUUUGUGUUCUUGUCAAGAGUAGAUGUAUACAUUUUUUUAAAAGGUUAAAAUACAGAAAAUUCUCUUAUAAUUUUUUUUUUUUACUUUAUAAAUCUAUAUUUUAAUUUUUUUAAAAAAAUAGAAAUAUUAAUGACAAAAUAACAAAAUUGUCCUGAAAGAAUAGUUUUUUAAUAUUUCUAUUUUUUAAAGAAUACUUUUAGCAUAAAUUAUAAGAAAUUGGUGAAAUAGUAACAGAACCCUAACAAAAGGGACUAAACACAUUAUCUUGAAAUUUUGAGAGGAUAAAAUAUAAAUUUUUAAAAAUUAGAGAGGAAAAGUGAAAAAAAAGAUAUUUACCGGAAGAUUUUUUAUAUUUUAAUUUUUAAUAUACAGUCAAAUAUUUGGGAAAUAGCUCACAAUUUUUUUUUGAAUAUUGCUUUUUUGUUGCUCCUAAAAUUUAUUAAACAAAUUUUAAUUAGUGAAACAAAAUAUUAAAACUUCUCCAAAUAAUACUUCUUCAGUUGAAUCUUGGCUUUCUUUCUUUUUCUUUUUCUUUUUUUUUUACGGAAAUGGUUAUCGCACAACUAACAUGCUCGUAAAUUUUCAAUUUUGAAUUAAUUUUUCACAACUAUUAUUUGUCCAUAAAUAAGUAUUAAAGGGUUCAGGGUGGAGAUGUAUAUCACUCCCAUUUAAUUUCAUAAAUGCUUAUUUAAAUUGUGAUCUCGUUCUCAUUGAAUUUAAUAAUGCAUUUAAAGAGAAUUUCUCAUCUCAUGCACUACAACAAAAUUAGAUUAUAGCGACACAUGUUUGGAACACUUUUGUGUAAGUGUUUCAUUUAUGCCAAAACAUAAAAAAAAAUCUACUAAUGCCUAAAUAUAAAGCCCAAUUCAACAAAAAAUAAAAGGUUACUCUACUCAACCCACCCUACCCAGCCCAUUCAAUCCGAUUACAAACAGAAAAGAAAAAAAAAAAAAAAAAAAUUAAUUAUCAUCUUCCUUUCUCCCCUCACUCAAUCCACUGAAAUUCUAGACGAAGAGCCCUUCCCUCUCCUCAUUCUUCGUCACCGCAACCAACGAGGUAGAGUUCCAGCAGUUGCUAAAUACUUAAAUAAGUGUUAGUAAAUUAGCAGCACUCUUUUUAGAUUAUACUGACACUCUUUAACUGUCACUAUAUACCUAGCGACCCCACAUAUAGCAAAAUUUUUUAAAAGUGUCGAUAAUUUAGCUAACAUCACUUUUUUUUAUCUAUACCGAUAUUUAAAAGUAUCCCUAUAGACCAUUUUUUUUUGUAGUGUCACUCCUGUUUAAUUUGAGAGAUUCGUCCUUUAUUAAAGUACAGCAGAUUUUUAGUAUAACAAAACAAUAGUCACCAUUCAUUUUAGCAAAAAAUAAUAUUGAGCAAACAUUCUUUUAUUUUCUCCUGCAUUAUUUCAUAUAAAAAAUUCAUUUCAAAAAUAAAAAUUUAUGUUACAUUGAAAUAGAUUUUUUACAUAGAAUGCGGGGUGGGUAUAAAUUUUAUAGGUAUAAAUUUUAUAUCCAAUGGAUAGGUGUACACAUAAUAUUGCUCUUACCUGACCGACCGUCCCUAGUGCAAGUGGCAAAGGGCUUAGUGGUUGGUAUCCGAAAUCCAAAUUCGAAUCCUAGUUAGAUUCACAUUUACAGCUAAAUUUAUUUUUAAAUAAAAUAAACGAAAAAGGUAGCGUGCUGCCUAUCUCUUAAAAAUAUAUAUAUAUAUAUUACUCUUACCUGAGUGUAUAGAGCUACGUACGUACACAUAAUAUGCUUUUUUUUUAAAAAAAAAUUUGAUUGAAUAUUGCAUAUCCUAAAUAGUGCAUGUGAAGUAAUAUAAAAAGACCAUCUAUUGAUUAUGGAUAAAUUUUACACUCCCCUUGUUCCAAAGACUUUAUUUUCCGCUUGUUUUAUCAAUUUUUGUUUCAACUAAAGGUUUUUUUUUUGAAUUUCAAUGAAAUUUUAAUAAAAUAAUAUAUAUAUAUUAUUAUAUAUUAUAUAUAUAUAUAUAAUAUAUAUAUAUAUAUAUAUAUAGUGCCGUCUGUAUACUUCUGGAAGCAAGAGCGCUCCGUGUUUCAAGUUGUUUUCGAUGUUCGAUUUUCGAAUCGACGAUCGGCUCCGUUAGACUUGAUCUAGAUAUUUGAAGUAUAUAAAAUAAAUUUUUGAGAUUUUCGAUAUCAUUUGCUAGUGAUCGAAGUGACUCAAAUCAUAAUUUAAUGGCCGUGGUGAGCCGUUUGAAGUUAACGGUGUAGAAUAUCCAAAUCACAUGAAAUUUUGAUAGAAAAUUCUUUAUACUAUAUAAAACAAGAUCAAUAACUUUAAUCUAAAAUUUUAAUGUCAUAUUCAUAUAUUUUGUAAAAUUUUUAUUUUCAACCUGAUUUUGAGCCACAAAAUUAUUUUCUAAAUACUUCAAAAUACUUUAGAUCAACUCUAACGGAGCCGAUCGUCGAUUCGAAAGUCCGAACAUCGAAAACAACUGGAAGCACGGCGGGCUCCGUACUUUCAGAAGCAUACAAGGUCACUCUAUAUAUAUAUAUAUAUAUAGAGAGAGAGAGAGAGAGAGAGAGAGAGUUGAGCUAAAAUACUAUCGAUAGCAAACGAGCUCCGUUGCCACCCAUUUGUUUUCGAUGAUGGAGCUUUCAAAUCGACGAUCGGCACCGUUGAACAUGAUCUAUACCACUUGAAGUGUUUAGAAAUCAAAUUUUAUACAUUUUCGAUAUUGUUCUUUUAUCUAUCGAAUGGACACAAAAAUGAAUGGCUGAAAAUGAAUAUUCUUUAAAAAAUGAUGAUAGAAAUCUUGUAAUCAAGAUUAAGAGUAUAGAUCUUGUUUUAAAUAGUUUAAAGAAUUUUCUAACAAAAAUUUAAUUGAUUUGGAUAUCUUUACACCGUUAAACGAGAAAACGCCUCACAUCGACCAUUAAAAUUACAAAUUUUGAAACCCUUUGAUCAUUAGGCAAAUGAUGUCGAAAAGAUUUAAAAUUUGAUUUCUAAACACUUCAAGUGAUAUAGAUCAUGUUCAACGGUGCCGAUCGUCAAUUUGGAGGCUCUAUCAUUGAAAACAAAUGGGUGGCAACGGAGUCCAUUUGCUAUCUAUAGUAUUCUAGCUCAACUCUCUAUAUAUAUAUAUUUAUAUAUAAAGCUAGGCUUCUAUGCUUUCGAAAGUACGAGAGCCUUCGUACUUGUAAGUUGUUUUCAAUAAUGGGACAUCCGAUUCGGCGAUCAGUUCCGUUAGACAUGAUCUACGCUGUUGGAACUACCUAGAAACCAAAUUUCAUAAAUUUUUUACUUCGUUUGUCUAGUAAACGAGCAGCCUCAAAAUGAACGGCUGAAAAUGAAAACCUCAUAAAAAACAGUGAUAAAAGACUCAAAUUUCAAAUCGGAAGUAUUGGUCUUGCUAUUGAUGUUAAGUAGAAUUUUCUAUUAAGUUUUUAUCUAAUUUGGAUACUUCAACACCGUUGAACUUAAAAACGUGCCACAUCGGCCAUUAAAAUAGUUAUUUUUGAGACCUUUUGAUCGGUUGGUAAAUGAUGUCAAAAAAUUAUAAAAUUUGAUUUCUAAAUAAUUUCAAUAGGAUAGAUUAUACUUAACGGAGCCGAUCGUCGAAUCGAAUUUUCUAUCAUUAAAAAUAACUUACAAGCACGGAGGUCUCCGUACUUUCGAAAGUAUACUUUCGAAAGUAUACGAGACUUACUUAUAUACUGUACUGAAAAGCUAUUGGACUCCCUGAUUUGUACCAAGUACCAACCAACGCACAUGGGGGCCUCAUAAACUAUGGAAACUUUUUCCACAAACAAAUUAAAGGGAACAUCUACUUUGGAUGUACCAAACCCCUCAAGCUUUUCUCACACUCCAUCUCUCUCUCUCUCUCUCUCUCUCUCUCUAUCUCUCUCAUACAAACUUUUUCUCUUUUUAACUUGCCUUUAUCUCUAGCUUUAUUUUCAAGGGAAAAAAACAAAAAAAAAAAACUCAUACUUCUAGUCCUUAUAUAUGUAUUAGAUAUUGGAUUCCAAAUUAUUGCCUACACGUAAUGCAUCUGCACAUUUGUAAAUCAUACAUUUAUCGAAUCUUCAGUUUCUACAUUAUUUUUCAGUGUUACCAUUUUUUUUUUUUUUUGAGAGAAAGAUAGCAUGCGACCCACUUCGUUUAUUUCAUUUAGAAAUAAACUUAGCUGGAAAUAUGAAUCAACUAGGAUUCGAACUUGGAUCUCGGGUACCAACCACCAAACCCUUUGCCACUUGCUCUAGGAACGGUCGAUAGUGUUACCACUUAUUGAGUCACAAUUUUUCUCUAUGUAUAUAUUAUGAACUGUUGAAUUAAAAGUAUGAGAUCGAUGAAUAACAGAUGAGACUUCCUUUAAUAUUGCAGGAGGAUUAUGUUGCGUACAGUCAAAAAUAACUCCUUUUGCCAAUAUAUAUAUAUAUAUAUAUAUCGAUAGCACGAAGCAUUUUGUGCUAUCAAGUUUUCUACCGUUAGAUUUAACUCUUUUAUCAUCUUCAUUCGUUCGAUUAUACUAUUCAACUAACCACCCACUCAACUCUAGAGGGACAACAUUAUUCUAACCGCACAUCUUUUAAUUCAAAGAUAAAAAAUUUAAUAACACCAAGUCAUUCGUACUAUUAAUAAUAUUCCAGCCUAGUUUUUUUUUUUUUAUGGUCCCACAAGAAAUAGAGAAUUAUUUUCCUAAUAAAAAAGAUUAGAUCUUGAAUCAAAAGUUCGGGGACUAGUAGGCGAAUUAUUAAUUUUAGUUGACUAAAGUCACUCAAUUCUGAAAAAUUAAAAGCCGAGGAAAUUUCAACCAAAAAAAAAAAAAAGAAAAAAGUUGAGGGCAAUUUCAAAACGACAAAUAGUUUAGGGGGUCUCCCCAACUUUUAACUUUUUUCCUUUUCUAAAAUGACGUGUCCCAUAAUUGCGGCAACCCCGAUAAAAAUCGACAGCAUAAAAACCGCGGGACCCACGCGUGUGUUGGGGGCGGAGCCAAUGAGAGCGCGCCGAACCCAACGGUCGUCAAUGCUGACGUGGCAGGAGUCCAAAGCCGGUAAACCCCCGCUCACCGCCACCGUCCAAAUCCCGAGUCCACCGGCUCGCCGGUGAAUCUCCCGGUCACCCCCGCCCCUUCCCCGUUUUAGCCGCGACCGGUUCAACCGGUCGUCAAAUACCCCGUUCGUUUCAAAGUUUGAAUGAAGCUGCUACCAUUUUUGCAAACAAACCCACUAAAAAACAGAUAUUUACAUAUACCGGAAACCCCCUCAAAUAUAGCUUAAUUCGAACUGGUCCCCUCAACUUUCUUUCUUAACACCUUUAAAUUUUGGAAAAUUUUCAAAUACCACCUUAUAGUUUCACACUUUUUUAUUUUAGUACCAUAUAGUUUAAAGUGUAUCAAUUUAGUACUCAAGGUUUCAUUUUUCUUUUUUAUUAUCCCAUCCACUAAUUUUUUUCGUUAUAUUAGUGACAAAGUUCAAACUAAAAGAUAUUAAGUAAAUAUCCGAUAAACUUAGGUAGGGUAUCUGAAAUUUUUUGUUUAUAAUUUAACAAAAUGUUAACGGAGGAGCUGACGAAAAGAGAGAAAUAAAAUCAUAGGAUACUAAAUUGAUACAUUUUAAAAUACAGAAUACUAAAGUGAGAAAAUACUAAACCACGAGACUGGUAUUUGAAGCUUAUCCUUUAAUUUUUUAUUUUUUACGAACUAAAUAUAAAAAUUUUAUCAAUUUUAAUCAGUAUAAUUUUUUUUAACAAAUAGAAUAAGAAUGAUUACUUUUUAUUUAUAUUUUUCUAAAUAGAAUUUAUACAUAAAAUAGUGUAGUAGGAAAUGGUUGAAUUAUUUAUAAAUCUUAUAUCCAAGUUGUUUACUUCACAACAAAAGUUACAAACAUAAAAAUGAUUUUUUAAAAAAAAAAUUAUAAUCCAUUGUUUUGUCGAGAUGCAAUAAAAAGAAAGUUCUUUCGCCAAUAUAUUAAAAUUUAAAGUUUAGAAUAAUAAGAAAAAUGCAGGAAUACCUAACAAGGCAUAAAUUUAAUAAAAUAAUAUGCAAUCAAAAUGUUUGUAAAAUUGAGUUUAAGAAUUAAAAUAAAUUGUUCAGGGGUCUAUUUACAAACCUUUGCAUAUUUUUCCCACUUUAAAGGGUUACGGACACGUGGCAGUUGAAAACAGCCAAACAACAAACAUUCGGAUAUCUCGAGACUUAAAUAACAAGUUACCCGACUCUUGCAAACAGAAGAUGCAAAUGGAUUCGGGUUAGUGGAGCUUCUGUUUAGAUCCGUUUUAAAUGGGCAAUCAAUAGAAACCAAUAUAUAUAUAUAUAUGAAGUGAAUGGUGAAAGAUUUUUUUUUCUUUAAAAUCGAUCCACUCCAAAUCCGACCGAAUCCAAUAAAAAGCGGAGCUGAAGAUGGAAACUCCUCCCGCCUCCAGAUCCGCCCCGUUUGCCGUCGAACCAGGGCCCAAUUUCAUAAUAACUUUGCUUACAAUGUAAUUAAUUUAUUAUAUAGAGUAAACUUACAAUGCUUUUAGGAUCCGACGAAUGUGUUCCUUUUUGCAUCAUUUCGAUGAUAGAACAUCUAAAUUCAUGAUUAAGAAAAUUAAAUAUAAUUUAAAUUAUUUAACUUUUAUACAAUAUAAAUUUUUAAAUUUUUAAAUAUUAUCUUUUUAGUAAUUAAAUAGUUUUAAAUUUAUCUUAGGAUCCAUUUGGCUCAGAAUUUGUAAUAUUACGAAAAUAUUUUAUAUUUUCUAUUAAAAAAAAUAUUUAAAUCAGUAUCAUUCAAUUCAAGUUGGAUAAUUGUAAAAAAUAUUAGUGAAAUAAUAAAAUUAUUUUAGACUUUUAGCCUAUAGAAUAUAUUUUUGAAAUACAACAAAUUUUGCAUCAAAUGGACUCUUAUAUUAAACAUAGUUAAUUUUAAGACCACUAGAAUACUAGACAGAUAAUGUCAAAAAAAUUAUAAAAAUUGAUAUAGAUCAAUUUAAUAGUGUUGUUCGUUAAUUCAGAAGCUUCGUCGCCCAAAGGCCGAUUAUAUUCAAUUCUAAAAUUUUAAAAUGAUGUACUUUAUAUUUGAAACUUUUUAAAUUGUUGCAAUAUAAGUCGUGUAGUUCAAUUCGGUUAAUGCAAUGACGAUGAGUCACUGAUGUGUCGGUGAUGUAAAAUUUUAAUUACUAAAUUUUAUACUGUAAUAUUUAUCUCUAAUAAAAGAGUACGAGAAAUACUAUUUGUACGCUUAAAAGUAGAAUAUAAAUUGACAACCAUCGAGCCAUUAAAGAGUUUCGAAAGUCCUUUAGAGAUUUUAAUAUCAAAAUAUUUGAUAGGACUGGUAAAAAAAAAUUGACAUUUGAAUGAAUAAGAUAUAAAAUUUAAAAACUUUUGCUCAUUUUCAAAUUUAUUCUAUAAUUAUCAAAAAAAUCUCCAUUAGUAAACCUAGAAAUUUGAGAAUAUUUGAAGGAAUUUGUAAGCAUCAAUAAGAAUAUUUUUAUGGACUAAAAAUAUAUUAAAUAUUUUUUAAAAUUUGGAGGGUAUAUUAGAUAUUAUAUUCAUAAAGUUUACAUACUCUUUUUUAUUUAGGUUAAUUUCAUUUGUAUCCUCACAAAACCUUUAAAUUUUAAAAUUUAACAAAUACCCUCUAAAUACAAUAUUUCUUUCAUAAAUACUCUUACUGUUAAUUUUUUCUAACUUUCCUCAAUUUAAAAUUUUUUUAUUUUACUUCAAAAUAUUAAAUUACCAUUUUGCCCUUAAUUUGUUUACUAUUUGUUUAAAGGGUUAAUUUCAUCCGUACCCCUCUAAAUUUCAGAAAUAUUAUAAAUGCUCCUAUGAAUUUUAUCAUAAUAUUACAAUUAUCCUUCUAAAUUCAUACUUUCUUUCAAAAAUGCUCUCACUGUUAUACUCCGUCUCUUCAAGUCAUAGUAAUCUUAGUUAAAUGGCAAUCUAACACUGGUUAAAAUUUGCAAUGUUAUUUUGCCCAUUAGUUGAGAAAUUUUUUAAGGGUAUAUUAAUUAUAUAAUUUAUUAUUUAAUAUCUAACAUUUUGUUCGUUAUUUGUUUAACAUCUAAACUAACACGCUGAUAUUCUUUAGUACUAUUUAGCUCCUAACCUUUGUUAAUUAUUUAUUUUAGUUAAUCAUAUUUAAAUUUUAUUUAACUUAGAUUUCUCUUUUAGCUAUUACUUAUUAUUUUUUUUUUAUUUUAACUUUUAGAAAGUAAUUAAAAUUAUUAAAUUUGUUGGAAUCAUCAAUGGAUUGAUAAAAUCUGUAAUUUAAUUGACAAAAAUCAAUCCAAUUUCAAGAAACCAAAUAUUAAGAAGACUUUGAUAAGAAAAAAAAAAAUUUAAUUAAUUAAGGGGCUAUUUCAUAAUAUAUAUAUAUAUAAUAGUUAAGAAAAUCUCUAUAUAUUAAUAUUAGAAAAUUUGUUAGGGUAUACAUGAAAAUGUAUGGAGGGUAAAUUCGGUGUUUUUGAAAAUGUUUAUGUUUUUUUUUUAAGGUAAAUAUAAAAUUUUAAAAAUUUUAAAAGGUAUUUACGUUCUUGUUUUUUAGUAGGGGUAUCCUAUCAAGUGGCAUUUGCUCGUAGUAAAUGGUUGAGGGGGUACACCACUGCAUUUUUCACUUUUACUCCUUUCUGAUUUUUUUUAAUUUUUUUUAAAAAAGAACCACCUUUUUCUCUUCUUUUUUUUUUUUUUUCNCGUCCCCUCCCCUCCCCUCCCCUUCUCACUCUUUCUCUCUCUCUCUUUCUAUUUAUAUCCGUCCCUAUCUUUCCUCCCCUCCUUAGCAGGCGCAGAGUUUUCCUUCUCACAAAAUUACAACAAGAAACAAAAAAGAAAAGAAAAUCUCUGUCCUGCUUUCUAUCUUUAUCCUCCUUCUCUUCCUCCUCCCCCAAUCUACUACUAUUCAUUCAUUCUCUCCUCUUCCUCAUUCAUUCAUUCAUUCAUCAUCCCACCACUUGAGUUAGUUAGUCAUAUUAUCAUGAGAAAUUAAAAGAAAAAUAAAUAUCUAUCUAUAUUAAAAAAAGAGAUAGAGAUAGAGAUAGAGAUAGAGAUAGAGAUAGAGAGAUAUAGAGAUAGAGAGAUAGAGGGAUAGGGAUAGGGAGAGUGAUACCGAAAGAAGAAAGAGGGAGGAAAUCGUCGUCGUCGUCGUCGGAGAUGCGGGCGGUGAAGAUGGGCGGGGAGGCGGCGGAGGAGGAGGGGUUUCCGUCGACGCCGGGGAAGGUGAAGAUGGAGCGCGGGGGGCCCGGGCAGUACAACCGGCAGCUGCAGCGGUGCUUCGCGUCGACGAGCAGCCUGUUCCUGUGGGCGCUGUUCCUGGUGGCGCUGACGGCCUCGUACCUGAGCUUCCAGAGCUUCGUGGACACGUCGUCCCGCUACCUGUCGGCCUCCUGGGGCGGCCUCCACUGGGAGCGCCGCCUGCGCGCCUCCGCCCGCCCGCGCCGGCCCGACGGGCUCUGCGUGCUCGUCACCGGCGCCGCGGGCUUCGUGGGGUCGCACGCGUCCCUCGCCCUCCGCCGCCGCGGCGACGGCGUCCUCGGCCUCGACAACUUCAACCCCUACUACGACCCCUCCCUCAAGCGCGCGCGCCAGUCCCUCCUGGCCUCGCACGGCGUCUUCGUCGUGGAGGGCGACCUCAACGACGCCCCGCUCCUCGCCCGCCUCUUCGCCGCCGCGCCCUUCACCCACGUCCUCCACCUCGCCGCCCAGGCCGGCGUCCGCUACGCGCUCGAGAACCCGGCCUCCUACGUCCGCUCCAACGUCGCCGGCCUCGUCGCGCUCCUCGAGGCCUGCCGCGCCGCCGACCCCCAGCCCGCCGUCGUCUGGGCCUCGUCGUCCUCCGUCUACGGCCUCAACGACAAGGUCCCCUUCUCCGAGUCCGACCCCACCGACCGCCCCGCCUCGCUCUACGCCGCCACCAAGAAGGCCGGCGAGGAGAUCACCCACGCCUACAACCACAUCUACGGCCUCUCCGUCACCGGCCUCCGCUUCUUCACCGUCUACGGGCCCUGGGGCCGCCCCGACAUGGCCUACUUCGCCUUCGCGCGCGCCAUCCUGCAGGGCAAGCCCAUCACCGUCUACCGCGGCCGCGACGGCGUCGACCUCGCGCGCGACUUCACCUACAUCGACGACGUCGUGCGCGGCUGCGUCGCCUCGCUCGACACCGCGCGGCCGAGCACGGGGGGCCGCGCGGGGCGGAAGCGCGGGGAGGCGCAGUACCGGAUCUACAACCUGGGCAACAGCGCCGGUGACGGUGCCGCGGCUCGUCUACCUGCUGGAGAAGCACCUCGGGGUGCGCGCGCGGCGCAACGUCGUCGAGAUGCCCGGCAACGGCGACGUCCCCUUCACCCACGCCAACAUCUCCCUCGCCCGCGCCGAGCUCGGCUACAAGCCCACCACCAAUCUCGACGCCGGCCUCAAGAAGUUCGUCAAAUGGUACCUCUCCUACUACGGGUGCGUUCGUUUAAGUCGACUAAUUGACUCGGCACGUGUUUGGCUCGGACCACCCAAAAGUGUAAUAAUCAUCCCCAUCACCAUCACCAUCACCAUUCAUCACCAUUCAUCAUCAUAUUUUUCAAUUUUAUUUUCCCAUUUUUUACUUCACUUUUUAAUCUCGCCUCUUCUCCUUCCUCUUCUUCUUCUUCUUUUUCUUUGUAUUUUUGAAGUAGGAAUUUUUUUUUUUGGUAAUUAUUAUUAUUAUUAUUAUUAUUAUUAUUAUUAUCGGAUAAAUUUUUUUUGGGGAAAAGAAAAAAAAAAUUAUAUGAGAAAUUCGUUUCUUCGAGAAGAGGAGAAGCGGCGGAGGAGAGGAGGAGGAGGAGGAGGAGCGCACUCAAUAUGUUGUGCCUUUUGUUUUUUUCUUUUUUUUUGUUUAAUUAACUAUUUUAUUUUAUUUUUAUUUUUAUUUUAUUAAUUUUUAUCAUCAUCCUGUAAAGCGACUGUGAAUGAAUUAUUUCCCGGAUCUCGGGUUCUAAUUGGACGGCGGAGAUUGAUUCACUUGUUUUUUUUUUUGGAUUGAUGUGUUUGUUUGUUANGACCGUCCAUUUGGCUCCGCUCCUUUACUUUCCCGCCCCCAACAAUGUAUAUCGGCGAUGAGGUGUGAUAUUAAUAAAUAAUAAAUAAAAAUAAUAAUAAUAAUAAUAGUAGUACCGCGGUGGGGCCCACGUCGAGAAAGGUGGACGGUUCGAUUAGCGUGCCGAACCCAUGUGGACAGCAUGAUCUUGUUUGGAAUAUUCGGGAAAAAAAAAAGGUUAAAAAAAAAAAAAAGGAAAUGGAGUGUGAACGUUGGAGAGUCGGUGAGCUGUAAAUUUUGAGCGCUCGAUCAACAAAAAAAGAAUGAGGUGUGUUUGUGUGGUUAUGUAAUGUAACUUCUUUUUAAAUUAAGGGUUAAUUUCAUUUAGGUCCCUACAAAUAUAGUAAAUUAUAAUAAUAUUUUUAUAAAGUUUAAUUUUUUUUUAUUAUAUAUAUUGUUUCUGUAAAAAUUUUAAUAUUUUCAAAUAUGUUUCUGCCGUUAGAAAAAUUUAGUUAAUCAUAGGAUAAAUACUUAAUCCUGAUUAGUUUAUAAGAUAACUUGAUAUUUUUUAUCUCUCUUAUAUUGUACUAUCGUGACUUUUGGACGGAUAUAUUUAUGAUGACGUAAUUGAUAUUUUAUUUAAAAUAUAAACAGUUUUAUAACAGUAACAAAGCAGAAUGAUAUUUGAAAAUAUUAAAAUUUUUAUAGAGACAAAAUAUGAAAGUUGAAUUUUAUAGGAAUAUACUUGUAAUUUAUUAUAUUUGCAGAAGCCUGUAUGCAUUCAACUCUUAAAUUAAAUAGGAAAGAAAAAAAAAGUAAAUCUCUCAUUUAGUUCAAAACUACAAUUUAUCCAUUAGGAAUGUUAGUGGGUACGGAUGCUCAUAAUUUUAUCCGAACCCUGUCCUAAACGGGGCGGGUUGAAUUGGUGCUAAACUGAAAUAAUUUCAAUCAUAGGUUAAAAAAAAACAAUAACAACGAAACGAAUUCGGAUUCGGAUUCGGUUAUAGUUUUUGCGCAAAAUUUGAAAUCAAAAUCAUAUAAAAGGUAUAGAAUACAGUUUUCUAAAUACUUAUUUUAAUAACUAUAAAUUUUAAUUUAACAUUUACUGACCCAUUAAUUUUCCUACUAUUGAUUAAAACAUUAAAAAAGGUCAAAACAGUAUUUUAAAAUUUUAACCAAAUUUCAAAUAGACCAUAACUAGCGUAGGGUAUUUGUGAUAAAUUUUAAUAUUUUGAAGGGCAUUCGUAACAUUAUCUAUUUUAAAAGAAUAUUGAUAAAAUUAAUAGUUUCUAGAAGGGUAUUCAUAAAAUUAUUCCAUUUAUAUUUGAUUUACCAUAAUGUUUAUAAUAAUAGUAUUUGUUGUAUAAUAUUAUAUGAGGUCACUCUCUAUUAUUUUAUUAUUUAUAAUUAAAUGAAGUUUACAAUACCCUAAUCAAGUAAAAAUACUUUAUAUUUGUGUUUACUUUCAUAAUUAUAAUUACACUUUUGACCCCUAAAUUUUAAACACAUAACACUUCAGUAUUCAAAGGGUAAUAAUUUGUCAUAAAUUUUAGGAAAAACUUCAAAAAAAAACCCGUGGUUUAAAAUGUAUCAAUUUGCCCCCCUGUGGUUUCUUUUUUCUCUUUUUCUUAUUAAUUUCAUUAUUUUUUUUUCUUAAAUCAGCGAUAAAGUUAAAAUUAAAGGGUACUAAGUGAAUAUUUGAUAAAUCUAGAUGGGUAUUUGAAGUUUUUUGUAUAUAAUUUAAUGAAAUAUUAACGAAAAAGCUAUCGAAAAGAUAAAAACGAAACCACAGGGGGCAAUUUGAUACAUUUUAAACCACAGGGGGGUUUUUAAAGUUUUUCCUAAAUUUUAAAUUUCAACAACUUAGAUUAUUAUAAUUAAGUCUAAUUUAAUUAACUAAAUACUGAUCCGUCCCUCUUGUCGCCAUAGUAAUAUGUUAUUUUAUUCAAUAUCUCAUUACUGAUCAAAAUACUUUAGCCUCACUACUUGCUUAAUAGCAAAAAUAUAAAAGAUUUGAGCUAGACAUUAUAACAAAUUAAAAUUUAAAAAUUAAAAUAUUAUGCGCUUAAAAUUUGAGAACUAAAUAUGAAAUUUAUUCUAAAAUUUUAAUUAAAUUUAUUAUUAUUAUUAUUAGGAUAAACUUCAAAUAUCAUUCAUGUGGUUUGCACUUUCUUACUUUAGUACCCUAUGGUUUAAAGUGUAUCGAUUUGGUACCCUAAAGUUUUAUUUUUUUCUUUUCGUCAGCUCCUCUAUUAACAUUUCGUUAAAUUAUAUACAAAAAACUUCAGAUACCCCAGUUAGCUUUAUCGAAUAUUUGUUAUUGAUUUAAUAAAAAAAAUUAAUAGAGAAAAUAAUAAAAAAAAUAAAAUAAAAUUACAUAAUACUAAAUUGAUAUAGUUUAAACCAUAAAGUAUUAAAAUAAAAAAAUAUGAAAUUACAGUAAUGAUAUUUAAAGUUUUUAUUAUUAUUAUUAUUAUUAUUUUGGGUGUAAUACGUGCUUUGUAAUUUGGAUUGUACGGAUGGAGAAACAAAUACUUUUGUCGGAAGGAAAGUGCUUUACUUGCUUCGGAUGCAACAUCCUAUAUUCCAUCAAUGAUGAUAAUCAUGGAUUUUUGCCCGAGUAAUGGACGGUGGAGAUUGUGCCACGUGGCAAAGUUUUUAUGUGAAGCACUAGUAAUGGAAAGUUCAACUUUAAAGCUAAGAAAAGAAAGUAAUAUUUUUUGGGCAAACUUCAAACGCCACCUCUGUGAUUUCGCACUUUCUAACUUUUAAUCUGUGAUUUAAAGUGUAUCAAGUUAGUGUUCUAUAAUUUUAUUUUAUCUUUUCGUAAACUUCUCCGUUAAUAUUUUUUAAAAUUAUAUAUAAAAAAUUUCAGAUAGUCAAUCUAGAUUUAUUGAAUAUUCACUUUAUUAUCUUUUAUUUUUAACUUUGUCACUGUUUUAACAAAAAAAAUUAGUAAAAUCAAUAAUAAAAAGAUAAAAAUAAAACUGCGGGAAACUAACUUGAUACAUUAAUUUAAAUCACGAACGGUAUUUAAAGUUUACCAAAAAAAUUAUAAAUCUUUAAAUAGUGGGUGAAUUUUUUUUUUUUUAUUAUAGAGGAGUUGAGCUAGUAUGCUAUUGGGAGUGUAUAAGUAGUAAUUAUUAUUAAUUUUUUUAUUGUUAAAUUAUUAUUAUUAUUCUAUCAGUUUUUAUUAAAUUUUAGACGUUUAUUAAUGGUAAAAAAAAAAUUGAUAGUAAUAUAGUGCAAAAGUUAAUGUCUAAUAUAAUAUAAUAAGCAUUAAAAGAUGAGGAUAAAGAGUAAGUCCUUUUGUACUGAGUUGGGUGAUAUUAUUGUGUGGGACCCACCAAAGCCCCAGAAAAAAAAAAAAAAAAAGGGAAAAAAAAUAGAAGGGAAAGAAUUAAAAAAGGGUGGGUAGGGGACUAGAGGUGAUGAACAAGUUGUAGUGUGCCAACUAUAAAGAGGGGGUAUGGGUUGGCAAGGGUUGUGUGAGUGUGUAGUAAUUGGUAAAAGAUGAUGACACUAAUAAUGGAAGAGAAUGGGGCAUAUCUUGGCUUUUAAUGGUAAUAAUAAUAUUAAUAAUAAUGAUAAUGUGAUGGAUCCAUGUACUCAUGUGUAAUUUCUAUAGAGAGAGAGAGAGAGAGAGAGAGAGAGAGAGAUGAUGCAUGUGACAUUAAUGGCCAUAAAAUUAUUUGCAAGAGAGAAAGAAAGAGAGAGGAUGCAUGCAUGUGAUAUGAAGGCCAUAUACAUAUAGAGAGAGAGAGAGUAUGGCUAUUAUACUUUUAUGAGUAUUAGGUCAUUCGUAUUUAUAGGUUGUUUUGAAUAAUGAAGUUUUCGAAUCGACGAUUCACUCCAUUAAAUAUAGUAUAGAGUAUUUGAAAUUUUUAAAAAAUAAAUUUCAUAAUUUUUCGAAAUCAUAAUAAAAUCUAUCAAGCGGAUAUAAAUUGAACGUUCAAAAUCAAACGACGUCCUAAAAAUGAAUGAUCGGAUCCUGUCAAUUUUGUAACCUUUUGAUCGUAAGGUAAAUGAUGCAGAAGAAUGAUGAAAUUUGAUUUCUAAAAAUUUUAAAUGCUCUAGAUAACGUUUAACGGUAUAGAUCAUUGAUUUGUAAGCUCUAUCAUCGAAAAUAAUUUAUGAGUACGAAGGCAAUCGUACUCAUAAAAGUAUAAUAGCCAGACUGACUCUCUCUCUCUCUCUCUCUCUCUCUCUCUCUCUGUCUAUAUAUAUAUAUAUAUAUAAUAGAGCUACUAUGCUAUUGAAAGUAUAGAGAAUCUGAUACUUCCGACUUUUUGGCUCUUAGAUUAGCCUCUUUAAUUAUUUCCAAUUUUUGAAUUAAUACUAUUACCCUGUGGUGUAUGGAUACUACUAUACCUUAAGGGGACCACAAUCAUCCUAACCGUACAAUUUUUUAUUCAAGGGUUAAAAAAUCGAAAACAUCAAAUUCUAUAUACUUUCAAUAAUAUAGUAACUCUACACUAUAUAUAUAUAUAUAUAAAUAUAUAUAUAUAUAUAUAUAUAUAUAUAUAAUAUAUAUAUAUAUAUAUAUAUGAGUCUGGUGGGUACUAUCGAUAACACCAAGGAUUUGGUGCUAAUCGAGUUUUCCACUGUAGAUUUAACUCUUUGAUUAUUUUUACCCGUUAGAUUAUACUAUUCAACUAACCACUCACUCAACCCUAGGUGCCCACAUUAUCCUAACCACUUAUUUCUCAAUUCAAGGGCUAAAAAAUCAAUAGCACCAAUAACUUGGUGCUAUUGAUAGUAAUCCAGCCUAGUUCUAUAUAUAUAUAUAUAUACACACACACACACAUAAGAAAUAUUAUGGGUACCACAAUUGAUUUAGAAUUUUAUUGUUGACAUCUAAGAUACUAAAUUAGAAAUCUAACUAUUUUAUAUUUAUAAUUGAGUUUAUUUCUUAAAAUUAAGGGAAGCGACUGAAAAAAAAGAAAGAAAGCUUAAUUUUUGUCAAAUAUGAAUAUUUUAUUUUAUUUUAUUUCAAAUUAUAUUCAGAGAUGACCGUUUACAAGUAAUAAGAGGCUUGGUAAGAUUCGAACUUAUAAACUCUCGUACUUUAAUAUCAUUUGGAAUAAUUCACUGAUUAAUUAUAUAAAAAUAAUCUUGCACACAAGAAGCUUUCUUUCUGGUCUUCUUUUGAUGGAUUUUUUCAAUCUGUAUCCACUGAUUAAUUAUAUAAAAAUUGCCUCAGGGCGUGUUUUUCCUCAAUAUAUAUAUAUAUAUAUAUAUAUAUAUACACACCGUAUCAUUUUAAUUAUUUUAUGUUCAACAGUUGACCGUAUAGUUAGAUUAGAAGUACGUAUGUCAACACCAGUUUUUAGUUGGAGGGCAAUUAAUUAGCAUCAUUAAAUUUUGUUAGAUUGAAAACUUGGGAAAUUGUAUUACGGAAAAGAAAAUUAAAAAAACAGUUGAGAAACCAGUACAAAAUGAAUUUAGACAUACUAGUUUAAGUUGGUACAAGACAAAAAUAAUAAUAAUAAUAAUAAUAAUAAUAAUAAAAUCCCUAAGAAACAAUAAUUCGAAAAUUUAGAUAAGUUUCAAACAAACAGUUAAUAAAUUAAAAUAAGAGAUAAGAUCAAUGGGAGAUAAACCAAAUGAUCCGCUACAUAAGCAAGGAACUAUCUGGUAUUUUGCAUGAGAUCUCUAAAAACAAAUAUAGAACAUCAAUUUUUUUAUUUUUUCAGAAUAAGAUAAGUUAUAUUUUAAAUAAAAUACAACAUUUUCAAGAAUCAUCAUAAAGUGUUAUUGUUUGGUCACUCUACAUAACCAAAAAUGUGAUGGAUAAUGUGUAGAUUGUUUUAUUUAGCUUAUCAAUAUAACAAAUCCUGCUAAUGUAUAUUACUAGACUCAUUUCAAUUUUUUCAAUAAUAUGGUAUCAGAGUUAAUUCUAAACCUUCUUGUUUUGUAAGAUCCUAAGUUCAAUUCUCACCUUAGACAUUUAAUUGAUUAAAAGACGAAGAUCGUAAGUUCAAUUCCCACUUUUGACGUGUAAUUGAUUAAAUUUUUGUAGUUAUAUAAUGCUUUGAAUCCCAACCUCUUCCCUCAUAACUUUUGAGUGUAGUUGUUUUUUUUUUUUUUUUUUUUUUUUUUUUUUGGAGAAAUAAGUACAUUCUAUCCGUUUCGUUUAUUUCAUUUAAAAUUAAACUUAGCUGGAAAUGUGAAUCGAUCAGAAUUCGAACUUAGGACCUCGGGUACCAACCAUCAAGCCCUUUGCCACUUUUGAAUGUAGUUAUUAAUACAUACUCCAGGGCUCAGUUCAUCUUUUCGGUAACAUAAUCCAACCUAGUAUAAUAUGAUAUUAUCUAAUAAUAAUGAUAAUCAAAAUCCCUCAAAAAGGAAUAAAAAUAGCCAAACAAAUUGGCACCAAAAGAGAUACCGCACUCGUCACACUAAAUAUGUGGAGAGUUUGGUUGUUUAUGCUCAUAGGAAGUAAUAAUACACUUAUGCACACACUAUAAAUUAAGAUGAUUUUUUUUUCAUCAAAAGAUUUUGUACCUUCAUAAUUAACGCGACAACUCAACUAAGAAGCAUGCACUUCGGAUCGAAUAUAUCUGGUUCAUUACGAUCUAAUAAAAGUAUAUACUACGUGUGGUAUAUACUUUUGCGUUUUGAGUACGUGUCCAAGAAAUGGGCAGAGGUAAUUGUUGAUUACAAGAUUUUUAAUUCUGGAUUGAGUGGUGACAAAAUUUUACAGAAAAGUAAAGUUGUAUAUGUGGGUAUAACUAACCUAAUACAAACCUUGAUGAUCUGUAUACAGUGGCAUAUUAGAUUCACAGCUUUUUGCUAUUUACCACAUUAUUGGAUGCAUUUAAAUCCUUAGCCAUUUUUUAAAGUUAAAACUGUAAAGAAAAAAAAAUCCAAAAAAUCCUGUAAAAGUAACUAUUUUUGUUUACUAAUUACCACAUUACAGGUACUUCCUACGUUGGAUAUUUGUAAAUCCUGGACCGUUUUGAAGGCUAUAUAUAUAUAUAUAUAUUAGAGAGUUCGAAAAUUAAAAAAACAUUAAAAUUCCGUUGCCGGGACUUGAACCCGGGUCUCUCGGGUGAGAGCCGAGUAUCCUAACCAACUAGACUACAACGGAUUUCAUAAAAAUGCCACGGAUAAACUUUAUAUAUACAUUUUAAUUUAAAAAGGUGAAAUGAAUACGAUUGGAGCAGAUUUGCUGACUUCGCGAGACGCUGAGAUGCAACAAAACCGCACACAACCUCUUCUUCCUGGAAAUUAUUGUAAAAAAAUUACUCCAAAAGGCAACAAUAUUUCAGCUAUUUGAAGCACUUUGAUAGCAACUCGCAAGAGUGAGUGAUUCAUCCGUUUAGUCAAUUAGGAGUUCUUCUUUAGCGAACACAAAUUUUGAUGGAACUACAAUCUAAACCUAACCAAACAAAAUCUAUACAAAACUAAAAACGAACCCAACUGAAAUAAUUCGGCAGACAUUAUGCUCAAACUUCACCGGAGAAGAAAAAUGAGACCAGCUACAUAGAAAAGAAAUAGAUAAAUAAAAAGAAUAAGUUUAAAGUAACUGGGUGCAAAACAAAAUCACAAAACACAAACAUAAGAAGACAAUUAGUGUUUACUCAAAAAAAAAAAAAAAAAAAAAAAAGAUCACAAAUGGUAGAUAUAUUUCUGUAAGCACGAGAAUUUGGUGAAAAGAGGAAGUACACGAUAGAACUGGACAUUCAAUAAAAAGCAGUUGCCUGAUUCACAACAUUCGCGACAAUUAGAUAUAAGUUGAAUCAGUGAGCAUCCAGUAGAACAAACCUUUAAAAGGCCAGUAAACGAGAGAUUUCGAUACCGAAGAUAGGUGGUAAUCAUGUAGUAGUGUAACAGUAAUCACACUACAACUUCUAUUUUUGAUUCCCCUGCAGGGUAAGGAUAUAAAAUAUCACAAUUUUUAUGGAACUGACACGAGAAUGGCCUAAUCUGGAACAAUAUGAAAGGAAAAUGUUAGCUUUUUCAUCCUAACACAUUUGAGCCAAUGUGAAUGCAUCCUCACUUACCAUCAAAUCCUUUAAUCUCUUGAAUGAAUCAUGUACACAGCAGCUGCCUUUCCAAACAAGCAGCUGCUCUUCUAUGCAUGGUGUAAAAAAUGCUUAUUUUCAGCACCCCUCGACCCCCGUCUCUGCCAAUAGAGAGGCAAAAAGAAUCACACUUCUAUUUUCCUCGAUGAUGACGUUGAUUGUUGAAUUUGACUUGCCGGAGUAUCGGUCAUUCAUUUUCUCAUGGAGAUUAAACCAAAAUUAACAUGGCUUUUCAGGAAAAAGGACAGAAGAAGCUAAUGUGGCUUAAACAAGGUUGACGGAACCUACAAAAAAUCACAAAGUAAAACAAAGAGAGGUUUCAGUAAAUGCUUGCUUGAAAUUGAAGAUCUAGAGCAAAAUCUCAAAAAACAAAAGUUUAUCUGAAACGAGUGAAUCAAAAUUUGUUACCUUGACAUGAUGCGGCAUGAUCUUUAUAUCACAAGGCACAUGAAGCCAUGCAUCGGGAGUAUAUAACAUGAAAUUCUCGGGCUUGCUAGUAUAGACAUCUGCAUAUUGAUGAAUAUGAUAGGCAAAUGCCGAUUCCUGACCAGUGUCUGUGAGGAAGGUUGCACCGAAAGAGCUAUUGAAUAGGCUCCGCAUUAUAUCCCGGCAGUGCCGCCUGUGCAUAUUCAGAUCAUCCAUCAGCUUUUUGUACGCUUGUCCUCUCUCUGUGCUGACUACCGUAGCAUGAACUUUCCCAAGCAAUUCUUGAAUUAUAUGAAAUUGAGCCUGCAAUCCAGGACACAAUCAAGACAUCUAAAAAUGGUGCCUCGAGUUAUAUGCAUGACUAACUAAAGGUGUAGAAGAGAGUUAACAAACUACAAAAAGUUCUUGAUUCUGAUUGGUUCCAUGAUCGUAAGUUUUUAGAAGAUUAUCGAUUUUAUAGAUGCAAGUCGAAUCUAGCCUGGAAUUAGUUUUGAGUCACACUUUUCAGGGGGGUAGACCUCAUCAAGCUUAGAUUCAUCUAUAUGCCUAACUUAACUGUUAGGGUGAGCAUACACCUAAACAGUACCUAUAAUCCGUACUCGAUUUGGGUCCAUGCACUCAUCUGAGCGUGGGGUUCACAUACAGGUGUGUCAGAAGUUACCAAAUUCAGAACCAGAUCAACAGUACCUGUGGUUUUAAAAUCUUUAUACUCUUCCCUGGCCUGUGCAUAAUGAAAGACUUGGACAGGUCAAAGUUGCGAUUCAAUAUUUGGGGUCAAGUACUAGUUUGAACCAAUGAGAGUCAAUGACAAGCAUAGCUGCAUUUAUUUUAUGAUAAGAUAUUGGAUCCAUUAUGCAUUAAAAUACAAGGCAUUAAAGGAAAAUAAACAACCAAAUCCAGGAUAACCGCAAUCUCAACCUACAAUCAAUGAAUAAGUACAUGCCACAAAUAGUAAACGUUGAAAUUUUGCAGAAUAAAGUUACAAAUAAACAUCUUUUUUAAGCCUCAGCAGACACUUUGAAUACUAUGAACUACUACCCAACCUAGACAUGGAAAGAUGAAAGAAAUAAUAAUUGAUCAAUGAAGUUUGUGCCCAUGGAGAACUGACAUGUUUCAUGGAUGACAAAGGGCAUUCAGUUUCAGAACAUAGUACAACUAAUUUACAGAUAUAGUUUGAAUCUUGCACGACAGUCAAUAAUGGCCCUGUAUACAACUAAAGGGUUCGAUCGGAAAUAAAAGAAAACCAGUGAUUUUCUCCCAUCCUCAUGUACCAAUGGUGAUCCAGAAAUUGCUUUUGUGAAUUACGUAAAUAUGAAGUUCAAAGAGGACAAGGCAACACUGCUAUAGACAUGAGCCAUGAGUGAAAACUACACUUGAAAAUAAAGCACAAAGAGACCUUAUAGUCCAAAGAUAGUACACCUAGUUAAUGCAGAAAUUAAAACUAGUCAUUCAAGAUAUGAAGAGUGAAGUGCCAGCAUAAUAGUCAACAUUUCUACCUGUUUCGUUCGAUAUCUCUCAUCAUUCUGGAUCUGUAUUUCAUUCUGCACAGAUAAAGAGAAUAUUCAGAAGAAGUUAACAUUUUUAUAAGAAUAAUGGAUUUGACAAUAAAUCUAGCAAUCAAUGUCAACAAAGUACUAUUUAAUAGCAUAAUCACUGGAAACUUAGACCAUCAAAACCAACAUGCUUUUAGUAUCACCAGUCACUCCCCCCUGUAUGUGUACGGACCUCUAAGUACCAAAUUAAUCACAGACAAAAAUUAACCAUGGCCUCUACACAUAUUGCAUGAAUAAUAACAAAGGCAUGUUACCAAUGAAUGAUAACUUACUUCAGUAUCUACCUUUUGCACAGAAAAAGAAAAUCUCAUCAAAUCUGCAGAAAAUCCAACCUAAAGUAGGAAGGCAUAAUCUUCUAUUUGGAUCAAUAUAAAUGGACCGCUAAAUAUGGAUCUCUUACUGUCUCUAUAAUCUAGAUCGAAAUGAGUCACUAGAGAGAUAAAGAUGGAAUGAAAAUUGAAAAAUAUUUUGGAUCUUAAUCUUUGAUAGAUUUAGAGGGAUUCGAAAGGUCAAGUCCGAGAUUGUUCAGCCAACUUUGUUUGCGAUAGUGAAAUAAAUCAAGCUCUGAAGGAAAGAGAAGGAGGAUAAUUUUGAAACAAAAUAUAACCUCCUAACAAGCUCUUUUAUAUAAAUAUGGAUAUACCAAUAGAUACUACUGUAGAUAAACAGUCUCUCAUAAAGUAUUACUGAAUCAAAAGAAGAAAAAGAGCAAACCUCAAGUUCAUGAAUAAUGGCGGCUGUUCGCCAACCAGCUUUUGAAGGUCCUCUGAGGUCACUAAACAAAUGAUCACCAAAGUAUAUCACCUAAGACAGGUUAAAAAAAGUCUUUUAGGUGCAUGUAUGAGAGGAUAGAUCAGAACAAAAGCAAACUAAAAGCAACCCCAAGGAACGCCAAUCAUGCCAAUCAUGCUAAGUUUCCUGCGUACCCCUUUGCAGACAUAUUCCUCUUUUUUUUUUUGAAGUUAAAAGAGUUGAUGUUUCGCUUUCUAGCUUAUGCACUUGGAUGAACAAUCCUGAAUUUUUUGGCAAAUAAUCAUUGAAGAUAAAUAUCUUCGGAUGCCAUGCCUUAGGUAUUAAUGUUAUUUAUUAAUUGGAGGCUUGACAUUUCCAUUUACCAACAUCUAGUAACAGUGGGAUUUGUCAAUAUAACUGUCUUUUGUGUUUAACAAGGGAGCACACCUGGGGAAUGGUUUGCCAGCAACAAAUUUUACUGGAGAUAACAAUAUGGUAUGUCUGUUCCAACAAUACUAAAAAGAUGGUCCGAUUAUUUUUCAUGCACCGCAUUAUCUCACAGCCAGUUUCAGCGAACUUGUGCUUCGCAUCAAGUGUAUAAGAAAAGCAAAAACUUGAGGUUCAAGUGCCAAGAAGUCCUUCUAAUACCAAUUGUUAUCCUGUUUGCAAUUAUUAACUAUAUUUAGGACAUGUUUGGUUCAUGAUUGGAAUAGGAAUGGAAAAUGAAAUUGGAUUGCUUCAGAAUGGGAAAUGGAAUGACGAAUCAUCCAAAAAUGUUUGGUUCAUUAUUGGAAUGGAAAUCGGAAUAAAAAUCUAGAAUUUUUGAGAGAGGGUUUUAAUUAAGAGAGAGGGAAGUGAUGAAUGGAGAGGAUGGGAAGUGUUGGUGAAAGAGGAUUUUGAGUAGUUUACUUUGUAAUGGGCCAAUCCGGGAUUCAAAGCCGGAUUGGACCAUAAAUGGAUUUAGCCAUUGAAUGGGAAUCCGAUUCCUAGAAAACAAACAACAACUAUCGGAAUCAAUGAAUCUCAUUCCGAUUCCAUAGUCUAAAAUAGCUGAACCAAACAUGCCCUUAGUGAAAGCCUGCCUUUGACACAAACAACUUCACAGGAUAAAGAAAACUUUCCUACUGACAUCUUUAUGACAGUAUGCUAAAAACUAAGCUUCAGAUAGGGCCUGGGGUUCUAACAAUUUGAAGGAUGACUGCUGAUGGUCAGCAUUAUAUAUAUCACUGUAGUAUGACUGGUGUAAACUAUCAGCAUUAUAAAUAGCUGUAAUAUGCCAAAAUAAACAAGAUCACCAGGUGGCAACUUCUCUAUCAGCACUAAAGGGGGAAGAGAAAAGAGGUUUAGAACAAAUAACUAUUCAAUAAGGCUGUGAUGGCAUAUUAGAGUAAUUUUUACAUUAAAGUGUGUGUAUAUAAUGACAUAGCAUUUGAUUAAGCGUUUAGGUCAACAUAUUGAAAUUUAUUCCCACCAAUAACAUCACAAGAUCAUCUUCUAAGGGCAGAUAAGAAGGAAACAGACGAAAUUUGCUGGCUAAGAGACAACACCAGAUGAAGCAAUUAAGAUUCUUUUCUACUAGACUAAGAAGAAACUCUCGAAUGCACAAAUUAAUCAAAACUCCACUUGAAAAUUAUCAAUAGACAUAUUCUAAGCUUAUUUGUUGUUUCGAAUUUGCUUCAUCAAAAUUAUUAUGGCACGCAAAAGGAAGAUUGAAUAUCCAGUAUAUGGAAAAUAAAUGUCAUUAAAAAUUGGCAAAAUUUGUUCACUGCAAGCAUAAAAUCUGGGCAAUAAUCAGUUAAGAGAGUGGCAGUCAACCAACAGGAAGGAAUAAAAGACGAAAUAAUAUGUUAGGUGAACAACUAUAAUAAACACAAGUCAAAGUUAUUGUAUUAGCUUUGCAAACCUCUGGGCCUUUCCACUUUGUGAUCUGUAGAAAUGAUUUGAGGCAACCAUGGUAAUACACUUCAUUCGGGAGAAACCUACUAACUGCAGUGAAAGCUAGAGUAUCCCUCUCAAUAUCAUAAGACCUACAGGAAUUCACCGAGAAGGUUAAAUUCAAUAUGGCACAUUCGAACAAGUAUAAAAGUCGAGGGAUUCAAAUUACUGAUGCUUAUUUUCCAACAGGAUAUGGAUGCAAAAUCAUUAUUCUUGUACUUUCUCCUAUUAUAUUAGCAGUUGCUGCUUGAGAAAAUUUAAAAAAACAACAAAGUAAAAGAAAGUACAGGUCAUAUCUCCACCGCCGUAUGGUCCCUGUGGCAAUAGUAAUCACAGAAAAGAUACAAACUAUCAAACUAGAGUUUCCUUCUAGCAACAAUUUAUGGUUCAACAGAUACAUAAAGAAAUACAGAGAAAGACCCAAAAUAAAAUAAAAUAAAAGGAAUAAGCAUGUAAAAAGUUUCAAAAGUACAACCUGAAUGGGUGCUCUGAAGUAUAGAAACUUGGCUUAUUAGCUUGAGCAAUGACAACAUCAAAAAGCUCCCUCCAGGAUCUUCCAUCCCUGUAGUCCUGUUCAACCAAUUGGUCAAUAAUCAAUAGGAGCAAUUUGCAGCAUAGAAUGGAUAAUUGAAACAAUAGUAAUAUAUAUUUUUCCUAACUCUGAGAAAUUGUUCAUAGAUAUAUAUUUUGAAGAAAAUACAUCAUGGUCUUAUUCUUGGAAAUUACAUAUGGAUUGACAAACAAAUAUAGAUUUAAACACUGUCAAACAUUGCUUAUUUUCUUUAAAACAGAAAUAAUCCAUAUUACGUUAGCCAGAAAUUUGCCAGUUAUUUAAUAUAAACUUGAUAAAGACAAACUUCCGCUAAAAUAAACUUCAGAAGAACAUAAUAAAUGCCUUUGGUGUUUCUCUUUGUUUAGGGAACUGGGAUUAAGCAAUAACUGCAACAAAGCAUUGACAUAUUCGGGAUUUAGCAUAUGUGCUUAGAAGGAUUAUUCAAAGAAACAGAUACACUCUGCUCCAUUCUCGAGUUCCAUGCUCAUAUUGGAUAGGGUAUGGAAACUAGCAUGUGCAAUCAAAAGAUGUUAUAAAAUAAAUAUAGCAACACACAAUGGAGAUCAUGUUGGUGUUGGGCUCCUAGAGUUAUAUUGCCUAAAACAGCUGAAAAACCAAAACACAAGAAUGCAGAGAAAUUUUACAACUUAAUAUGUAUUAUGAGAUCAAUAUUCAACGGGCAGACAUUCCAAUGAUAAGAACAUCUUUUACAAUCCUUAAAACUUCAGAAUUUAGAUACUGAGAAAUUAUAUAAAUUAGUUAACCAUAGUUCCCAAAUUUACACUAAGUUUCUAAAAUUAAAAGUUAAGAAGCCUCUAUUGUGCAUCCAGGUAAAUAGGUCAUAGUGGAUUAAAACUAAACAGAUACCAGUUUAUUUGUGAUACCAUUCUAGAUAAUCUGUGGCUUAUAUAAAUCAGGUUCAUGUAUGUUGAAAGCAUGCACCCCGCUAGGGUUUUCAUUAGUUUUUAUAAACAAUGUAUAAGAAUAGUCAUGUAACAGUCAUGUGACUUACUAAACAAAUAACAUAUAAAAUGUAUACAAGAAAUAUACUCUUAACAUAUGUAAGAACUGCAAAAAAAAUGUACACUAGCAUACAUAUAUAUAAUUAUAUCUAACACAUCGUAUUUACAGUAAUGAGGAAACUACUAUGUCACAUUCCACGGCCAACGGACAUUAGAGCACAAAAAGAUGCACUGAAUCAAAAUCGACCGGAUCAUGCAGAGGGAAAGCAAGUAAAUAAUAAAUAUGAAGACCAUAAUGAAAGAAUAUAGUAAUAAAUCAGCAGGGAACUUAUAUACCAUCAAGGUAAAAAGCUAUGAUGCACAGGGUAUGUUUGAUAACUUUGAAGUGAAAGUUUUAGUUGUCAAAAGCAUACAUACAUAUAAAUAUCUUCUAUCAAAAGAAUAAUAAGAAAGAUAGACAUAUCAAUAAGAAUAUACAUACAAUGACAUCAACCCAAACAUCACCUAUACAUAUGAUAUUUCAUCUAGCAUAGUUGUGCUUAAUUGCGAAAAAGAUGGAAGGUGCAUAUAAAUAAAUAUCUUCUAUCAAAAGAAUAAUAAGAAAGAUAGACCUAUCAAUAAGAAUAUACAUACAAUGACAUCAACCCUAACAUCACCUAUACAUAUGACAUUUCAUCUAGCAUAGUUGUGCUUAAUUGCGAAAAAUAUGGAAGGUGCAUAUAAAUUUAGGUAAAAUGAGGAAGCACCUCUAACAUGAAACGCAUUCCACCAUCCACGAAAUAGAAAGGUGAGUUGGUCAGAAGGAAAAGUUUCUUCCCCUUCUCCUUAAGCUUUUGUAGAAACUGCAAGACUUGGCUCUGCAGGUCAGAUAUAAUAGUUUAGUCUUGCAUGCUAGAUCUUCAGCAUAAUAGGUGAAAUAUCAUAUACCCACAAAUGAUCUACAUAAGUUUAAGAAAUCAAUAACUACGAAAUAUUUGUCAAUAACAAUCACAGCAAAGUGGUAAAUAUGUGCCACUUACAUUUUUCACUAGGUACUUAUGAGGAUCAGACAGAAUUGUCCUAUGUAACAGGCCGCUUUUAUGAACAUGCUGAAUAGCAUGGUUUACAUCUUCAUAUACAUAGGAAGCAUCAAAAUCCAACUUAGCAUCAACAAAAUGCUGGACGAUAUCAGCAAUAAGGCAUGCCUGUACGCAAGCAAACAUUUAUUCUUCUUCAGAUAGCAGAUAAACAAUGCAAUCAUGUAAUGCCUAACCUAGUUGGAAUGCUAAAGGAAAAAACCUCUGCAUAAAACAUCUCUAUAUACUACCAAAAUAUCAUUCCAUUUAACAGGCUAUAUAGUAUAUCCAUUUUAAGAGAAGUUAAAAUACACUUAUUGUACAAGCAGUUAGGCCGUGAGUUAGUAAAAAGAGGAAGAGGAAACCUGAGCUAAGCAGUUCUAGAAAAGAUGUUUGAGUUAGAGAAAUGGAGAGAGGAAAUGUCGCGAAGUAAAAUUCUAAAGCUUGACAAAUUAAAAUUUGAACUUACUAGUAUUAUAGUCAACUGUUAUGAGAAUAACUAAAAUAACAUCCCCAACUUAAUAUUAUCUAAAACAAGAGUAUAACUUAACAUAUACAGUCCUGCAAAUCAUAUGUUACUUUGCUAGUGCCUAUAAGCCUCAUUUCUGAACUGAUCAGAUGUGUAACACUAGCAAAUAUACUAGUUAGUGGAGAGAACAAAGAAAAUCAAACCACCAGCAUGUACGAAGUUUAUUAUUGCACUGCCAAUGUAGUAGAAAAGAAUGCAGGCAAAGUUGGAUGCCAUUGACAUUAACCAACUAGGUGACAGGAAACAAAUGGUGAGAGUUAAGUGCUUGCUUAGCCUAGCUUAUGAAAUAGCUUCUCUAUUUCAAAGCUUCAAUCAAGUGCUUGGCAGAAAAAAAAGUCUAAAGCUUUUGGUAUGGUGGGAAACUACAAUGAGAUUCUAGGCCCUAAAAGAAGGUCCAUUAUGAAGUUUUCUAUUUUGUUGUAGUUGGAAGGAAGUUGUUGCAGAAUUAUUUAUGAAAAAGCCAUAAGCCAUCAGUACUUUUUCGAAUAGGUCUACUAAAAUUAUGGCAAAAGCUCCAGCAAGCCAAAUAGGAAAGUGCCUAAUAUGGUGCUUUAUUAAUUGGAUACCAUAAUUAGAUACCAUUAACAGACUGUCAAAACAACUGCCUCAUUCUAAUGCUUCAUUUCUCAGUUUUCAAGUUCCAAAGAGGCUGAGCAACUUACUAUCUAGAGAAAGGAGAAAAUAGGUUGAAGAUGGGCUAGAAAAGCAAGGAAAAGUAAGGGGCAUAGUCAACAUUUACCUCACUAAAGCAAAAGAAAUCCAUCAGACCCACAAGUCUAAGUGCUUGAUCCCGGCCAAUAUGCCGAGUGCCAUAUAUUUCUACUAUUUUGUCCACGCUAAGCUGCUUGCAACCACCACAAACAUCACAGUUAAUUAGAAGAUAAUGGUAAAUCAGCCAAUUUCUGUUAAUCUAUUUCAAUAUAUUGAUCUUCAUUAUAUAGUAAACUGAUGACGUUGAGAAAAGAAAUGACAGCAGAACUAUGUAAAGUGUUUUUGGAAACACAAAUAUAUAGGAGCUUCAAGAAACACAAUUAUGUAGCAGACCCACAACAGGACUGAUCAGCAACAACAGAAAGUUUAACUGCAGAAAGUGACAAUACUUUGCUAUUGAGUUUUGAGUAUUAAAAAAAAAAAUUAAAGAACAAGUAAACUUCACUAGGUGAUGAGAAAUUAACCUGUAGUUUACUAGUUUUAUUACUAUAUUACUAACAGCUAAAUUUCAAGAUUAAAGUAACUUUAGUAGCUAAUUUGCUGACAUUAUUUUAUUAGCUUUUAUUAUGUGAACAAAUACCUAAUAUACAUAAGCUACAGAAACAUGUGCUGGUUGAUUCUUUUUAACAAAUCUCAAAUCGCUUAGCUCAAAGCAUUUAAUGCCAACAUAAUCGCAAUGCUAAUUAAGACUUUUUUCUUCAGCAGAAAAUUGCAAGAUUCCGUACAUUUCUAUGGCAGAUAAGUAUAUUCAUUACCUUUUUACGUCCGAAAAAGCAACCAUCUAGCUCUAUGGACCCAAAGAAAUCAAGCUUCAGAAGGCAUCCGUUGAGUUUAUCAUAGUACAGACCCCUGAUUGGAAAUUUGGGAUCAUACUCAAAUUGCAAGCAGCUCUCAGGAUACUUCAGCUAAACCAACCAAUUCACAGGCACAAGUUCAUCAAAGACUCAGCCGCAACAAUAACAACACAACUUAAAUACUAAAAUAAAGAACUUAAAGAUGGUCAACUAACCUCAUUAACAAGGUGCUUCUUUGCCAGGUCAUAGAUCAAAAUCUUGAGAUUUUCGGAGUAAUGGGCUAGCGUGUAGUCAUAGUCAAAACCGUAAACUUGUAUUGUAUCCAACCUCACAUUCUUGUUGACGUAAAUACCUAAAUUCCCCCUCAAUAACAAAAAUUGUCACGUUCAAGAUCCAUUCGUUACAAUCUUUCUUUGUCCCAAUAUCAAGAUAGAGAGAAAGAUAGAGAGAUAAUACCUUCCGGAUUCAUCUUGGGUAUUUCUUUGAGCACCUCAGGAAUGUUGUCAAAGUUCCUCUUUGCUUCCUCGAACUCACGCUGAAUCCUCUCGAUCUCAUCGUCAGCUCCAGCGGUGCUCGCGGCAUCAUCCGUUGUCAGCUCCGGAACCAGAGUUCCACUAAAUCCACGACGAAACUCCCCAAGUCCAAACCCUAAUUUCCAAAAGAAAACCAGCAAAUUCUUAAGAACUCUCUUCAAACCACUCAACACCACAUCAAGGGGGUAAGAUCCGAGCACCAACCUCUCUGACUCCUCCGAUGCGAUGAGCGCGCCAAGACGGACGGUUUCUGCGGCAAAGAGAUGGAAAACAACGUAAUCGAGAGACUAAUAGAGAGAUCGUGAGGCGAGGAGAGAAGGGUAUUGAGCUUACAACGAUUGGAUUGGAGGGGGAGAGGAAGAGGCGAAGAAGACGAGCUCGUAGCAUCGCCAAUGGAGAGAGAGAGAGAGAGAGAGAGAGAGGUGGGGAAUAUGAGGACGAGAGCGGGAGAAGGGAUUAAAAAGGGUUGGGUUUUGGGAAUGAAUUGGAGUUCGGGGUUUUUAUCGAUUCGAGGAUUCGAGUGUGGGGUAGGAACCUUGCAAAAUUGCAAGGGAUAAAAUUGCAUUCGCAGUCCAUAAACUUCACUCUCGUUUACCUUACGCCCUUGAACUUUUAACUUUAUAUUUAAAUUCUUUUUCUUGCUCGAAAGUUUUCAUUUUAGUCCUUAAAUUACUCAAUCAGCUGGAUUCGAAUCACUCAAAAGUAAAGGUGCGAGUCAACUUUGAUUCGAGAGUAAUGAAAAAAAAAAAAAUCACUAAUAAUUAUUUAAAUUCAAAUAUAAAUCAUAUAUUUAUUUGAUUAAAUCAUAAAUUUAAAAUUUAUAUUUAUAUAUAAAUCAUAUAAAUUUAUUGGAUUAAAUGUAAAAUAUAAAUUUUAAAAUUCAAAUUUUAAUUUAAUAGUUCUAUAUUUAAAUUUUGACUCUGACCUUGAAUUUGAAUUAUAAAGUUCAAAUUAUAAGCUCAAAUUUAGAUUUAAAUUUUGAUUACAAUUUUAAAUAUCAAAUUUAAAUUUCAAUAAAAAUUUAUUUUUUUAAUUUUAAUUUGAACAUGAUUUCAAUUUUGAUUUUUCUUAUGAACCAAACAAAUUAUUUUUUUGUUAUUUCAUUUUCAAUUCCGAUCUAUUUCUAUUCCUAUUUUCAUUUGGAUUCUUCUUUUUGAACUAAAUGUGUCCUAAAAGUAAAUGUAAGUAGCCGCACAUGGUUCAUAAUUAUUUGUAAUGCUCUUGCAUUUACAACACUAUCGGUCCUCUAUCUAUUUUAUACUUUGGAAUCUAGCCGUCUAAUUUCUAAUUUAAAAAAAAAAAACAUUUAAAAUAUGAUAUAAACUCAAGAAACAAUAAAUGCAUGAUGCAUAAAUGUACAAAUAUACAAAUCUAGAUAAUAAUUUGUCCUUCAAAUAGAAAUAUGGCUAAAAUAUAGAAAAAAAAAUUAAAAUAAAUAUUUUUUUACUUUCUGUUUUUCUGACUUUCAAAAAUUUAAAUUUGUUUCCCUCAAAAUUUUAAGUCGAUGCAUUUUGUCCCUCUGCCAGGUUCCGUCACUCUAUCUUUUUUUUUUCUACCGAAAAUAUUCUUAAAAAUAACACAAGUAUGUUAAUUUUUUUUUUUAUGAAAUAAGGAAAAACAAUUUAGCUAUUUUGCCUUCUCUAUUAACGCUACAAUUUUUAAAAAUAUUUUUAAAAUUUUAAAGGGACAAAAUGUAAAUUUUCAAAAGUUGAAAAUAAAAAUAAAAGAACAAAUAUUUAUAUAAAAAUUUUCUAUAUUUAUAUAAAAACGAGUAUUUGUAUUUUAUCUAUUUUCUGUAUUUUAGCGUGUUGUUUGCAAAAUUUACGCAACCUUCUAGAAGAUUCAAAGACAAAUCGAGUACGCUUUUGUUCGGAGUCGUUUUCACCUUUUUUUUUUUUUCUUUUUUCUUUUUUCUUUUUUCUUUUUUCUUUUUAUGAAGAUGCAUGUAUAGUUGCUGGUAAGCGUUAACUAACUAAUAUUUCAAAAGUACAUGCUCAUAAAAAAAAAAAGAUUCAUUGUAUUUAAAAAUUUAGCUACAGUGCUCAUAGAUUUUGCUUUAACUUGAUAUAUCUUAAUAUUUAGGUCUAUUGUUGGGUAUGAUUGUAAGCGCUAACUAACUAAUAUUUCAAAAGUACAUGCUGAUAAAAAAAAUAUAUCUGUCGCAUUUAAAAGCUCAGCUACAGUAUUCACCGAUUUUGAUCUAACUUAAUUCAUCUAGAUGUUUAGGUCUCUUAUUGGGUAUCUUGUAGUUAGAUUUUUUUUUUUUUUUAUAGACCACAUCACAAGUCAACUUAUUAUUUUUCUGAAUCUAUUAACCUAUUUUAUUUAAUAAUAAAUAGCCAAUAAAAUGCAGGGACUAAACCCUAACUUUUUGAUCGGCCGUCCAGAAUAUAACUAACCAACCAUGCUGGGUGACGUUAAUAAAAAUUUUGCUGCAAAAAUAAAAAUGUAGAGAGCGUAACGUGACGUGUCGUUCUAUUGGUUGGAUUAAGUUGAAAGAAGUCAACCAAUUUGUGCAUGAUGAUUUUAAAAGUUUUUUUUUUGUGAAUUAGAGUUACUAUAAAAAAUUAUUUUUUAGUCAUUAUUUAUUUGUAUUGUUAUGAAAAUAAAGUUUUUCUCAGUUAUAUUAUUUAUUUGGCAAGAAUUUAUAAUAUAAAAAUUUAAAGUGUGAGAGAUAAAUUAAUUAUUUUAUUUUGUUUUUUACCUUUUUUAUCUAGAUGGCUUCAACUUGGGUUGCACCAAAGUCAAUUAUGCUCUUGUACGGAGUUUGAGUUUCAAAUAAAGGUGUAGUUAUGAUAAAAACCAAAUAACGAAAAUAGAUAUUUAUGGCGAAAAAUCAGUUCACCCCGCUCUACUUUCAGUAAAAACAUGAAUACAGCAUAUUGAAUACUCCACAAUAUUUUAAAUAAUAAUUUCAAUUAAAAUGGUCUAAUCAAUUUUCAGAAAAACAUAUAUAUACAUAUAGUGCAGAGCUACUAUGCUUUCAGAAGAAUAAAGGGGUUGGUGCUUCUGACUUUUUAACCUUUCGAUCAAGGAUUGUAUAGUCGGGAUGCUAGUGGUCCUCCUUAGGAUUGAGUGGCUUUUCUAAGAUAAUAAUAUUAAUCCAAAUGUAAGAAACAAUAAAAAAGAUGGCCUUUUUGCAUAAAAAAUUCACUUAUUUUGGGCUUUUGCAAAACCGGGUCACCUUUUUCGUUUUUGCAGAUUCGGUCCGCUUUUUCAGCAAACUGACCAAAAUACCCUUAUUACUUUUUCUCUUUCCUCUUUCUCUCUCCUCUUCGUUUCUGUCAUUCUUUUUUUUUUCUCGCCGAAAAAAAAAAGGCGGACCGUCGCCUUCUUCUUCACCGUCGCCUCCCUCCUCACCAUCCUUCUUCACCGUCGCCCCCCUCCUCACCCUCCUCUCCACCGCCCACGACCCCCUCCUCCUCUCCUCCGCCGCCGCGGACCCCGAGCCCGAUCCCAUUGCCGUGGCGGCAGCGGCCGCGGCGAAUGGGGUCGGGUUGGAUGCGGAGAAGAAGACAACGGCGAAGAAGAAGAAGGGGAGGCCAAGCGACAGGGCGCAGGAGGGGGAGGCGGAAGCGAAUCGGGCGCCGCACCAGCACCGCGCGUGUUCUUCUCCGUCGGCGCUGCCCUCCUCCGCGCCGGCAAGAAGCCGCCGACCAGGCGCUCUGCUUCUCCCACACGACGACGUCGAGACGCCGCGUCCGCCGCCGACCCCGAGCCCGAUCCCGUCGCCGCAGCGCAGCGGCCGCGGCCGCGGCGAACGGGGUCGGACUGUUUUUUAUUUUAAACUGCAUAUCUUUAACAGAUAUUUAUACUGCUUCUCCUUUGUUGCACUGUUUCUCCUCUUGUUGAAAGGAGAAAACAGUGCAACAAGAGGAAAAACAGUGCAACAGAGGAGAAGCAGUAUAAAUAUUCUCUUAAAUGGGUGCAGUUUAAGAUAAAUGGGUGCAGUUUUUUUUCUUGUUGCACCAUUUUUUCUCUUGUUACACUAUUUUUAUUUUUAACUACACAUCUUUAACAGAUAUUUAUACUGCUUCUUCCUCUUGUUGCACUGUUUUUUUCUCUUGUUGCACUGUUUCUCCUCUUUAAAGAGGAGAAACAGUGCAACAAGAGGAAAAACAGUGCAACAAGAGGAGAAGCAGAUUAAAUAUCUCUUAAAUGAGUGCAGUUUAAGAUAAAUGGGUGAGUUUUUUUUCUUGUUGCAGUAUUUCUCCUCUUAUUACACUAUUUUUUAUUUUAAACUACACAUCUUUAAUAGAUAUUUAUACUGCUUCUCUCUUUUUGCACUGUUUCUCCUCUUAUUGCACUGUUUCUCCUUAAAAGAGGAAGAAACAGUGCAAUAAGAGGAGAAACAGUGCAACAAGAGGAGAAGCAGUAUAAAUAUCUCUUAAAUGGGUGCAGUUUAGAUAAAAAAUAGUGUAACAAAAGGAGAAUUAUGCAACAAGAGGAGAAACGAUGCAACAAGAGGAGAAAACAGUGCAACUUUCAUUUAAAGAGUGUAAUUUUUAUCUUAGUGGGUGCAGUUUAUAUCUGAAAGAGUGCAAUAAGAAGAGAACAUUGUAAAUAUCUUUCAAAGAGUGUAAUUUUCAUUUAAAAAGUGUAAUUUUUUUUUUAAAGCUGCAGUUUACAUCUUAAGUAGUGCAACUUGUAAUUUUUUGUAGUUAACGAUACAAUUUCAUCUUCAUCCUUUUUUUUAUAUAAUUUUUUAUCUUUAUUUUUUUUCUGUUUUUUUUUUGUCACCCUCUCUGUCAAUAGCCACGGUGUCGGUGACGACGCCGCUAAAGACCCCCCACUCCGAGGCUGCAGCGCCGCAGUGAUCUCCACGGUGUCGGCGUCGGUGUCGGCGAAGAUGCAUCGUCGUCGGAGGCAGCAGAGAAGGAGGGAGAAGGAGAGACGGGAAGGGCAGGGAAGAGCGAGAGAGGCGCCGUCGUCGAAAACUGUGGAGGAGAGUCAGAGAAGAAAAGAAAAGAAAAAUGCAAAAAAAAAAAGUCACAGUCCGGCCUUAGGGGGAUCGGAGGCGAGGAAGGUGGGGGCGCCGGUGGCGACGCCGCUUUGUCUUCACCGCUCUUUGGGAAGAGAAAGAAAAAAAAGAAUGAGAGAAAAAAGAGAAAAGAAAAAGGUAUAAGGGCACCUCCGCUCCGUUUUCGCCGCUCUCUGGGAAGAAAAAGAAAAAAGAACGAGAGAAAAAAAAGAGGAGAGAGAAAGAGGAAAGAGAAAAAGGUAUAAGGAUAUUUUGGUCAGUUUGCUGAAAAAGCGGACCGAAUCUGCAAAAGCCAAAAAGAUGGCCCGAUUUUGCAAAAGCCCAAAAUAAGUGGAUUUUUUAUGCAAAUUGGCCAAAAAAGAUUGAUUCAAAGGCCAAAAAGUUAGAAACACCAACUCACUUGUACUUUCCAAAAAGUAUAAUAACCGUACUAUUAUAAAAAAUACUAUCAAUACACCCUAUAAGGCUUAGUUUGGUAUUGAAGCCUAUCAAAGGCUAUUAGAUAAAAUGGAGUUGAGAAAAAAACAUAUAGGGAUAUGCUUUUACAUUUUCCGGUGGGACCGCAGAAAAUAUAUCGUAACUGACUCAUUGCGAUAUAGGGAACGCAAUAUUACGUACGGAAACAAACAUGGUACUUUUCCGACGUAGUUUCUCACCACACGAAACGUUAUCUCCCCGCAAUUCCAAACGAAGCCUAAGUAAGAUGUAAAUCUUAUUUAAAGACAUAAAGAUUUAUUUUUAAUUUUGUAGUAUUCCAAAAGAAAUAGAUAAAAUUAGUAAAAGUGUUAUUAGUCUUUCAAUGGUUAGGUUAUAAAAUUUACUCUAUUUUAUAGGUGUACCAAUAGAAUUAUUUGUCAUGGGCAUUACCAAAUUAAUAAUAUUGAAGAGUUUUUUUUUUUUUUUUUUAAAUCCAUGGUCACAACCUUUUUAUAAAACCAUAAGUCAACUUUGGGUGAUGUAUGUCCCAUUGUCAUCGAAUUGAGGAGAGGAAAAUUAUGACUUUUUAUUUUGUUUAAGACAUCAAAUGAAACACAAUACAUAGAAGGACCGCAGAAAAUUAUGACUUUUUAUUUUCCGGUGGGACCGCAGAAAAUAUAUCGUAACUGACUCAUUGCGAUAUACGGAACGCAAUAUUACGUACGGAAACAAACAUGGUACUUUUCCGACGUACUUUCUCACCACACGGAACGUUAUCUCCCCGCAAUUCCAAACGAAGCCUAAGUAAGAUGUAAAUCUUAUUUAAGGACAUAAAAAUUUAUUUUUUAUUUUGUAGUACUCCAAAAGAAAUAGAUAAAAUUAGUAAAAGUGUUAUUAGUCUUUCAAUGGUUAGGUUAUAAAAUUUACUCUAUUUUAUAGGUGUACCAAUAGAAUUAUUUGUCAUGGGCAUUACCAAAUUAAUAAUAUUGAAGAGUUUUUUUUAAAAAAAAAAAAUCCAUGGUCACAACCUUUUUAUAAAACCAUAAGUCAACUUUGGGUGAUGUAUGUCCCAUUGUCUCUUACAUCCAAUUGAGGAGAGGAAGGGCCUCAAAUUAUGACUUUUUAUUUUGUUUAAGACAUCAAAUGAAACACUAUACAUAAUUACAUAGAAGGACCUGUUGCACUCAUGGAAGCCAAUUCCACCUUUUGCUCCACCUUUUCCAUCUUCAAUAGAAAAGUCAAUUAUAUCGACCGUUCCUGAAACAAAUGGCAAAGGCUUGGCAGUGGGUACCCGAGGUCCCAAUCACAAAUCCUAGUUAAUUCACAUUUCCAGCUAAGUUUAUUUCUAAAUGAAAUAAACGAAACAAGUAGCGUACUACUUAUCUCUCAAAAAAAUGAAAAAGAAAAAAGUCAAUUAUUCAAGGAAAAACAAUUGUCACAACCCCUAAACUUUUGCCCAAUUUACAUGUCGAUCAUGUGGCUUUUAUAAUAUUUUGCUCUGAUGCUAUGCUGCUCAAAAAAUUGAUUUAAUAGCUAGAAAAAAAAUUCAUAAUUAGUUUUAACACAUUCCUCAUUCCUUAUUCUUGUAUUAAUUUUUGAAAUUUUAGAAUGACAUGCACCAAUCUCAUUAUUAAUUAUAGUUUCAAUAAGAGAUAGGAUGUUGAGUAAAUUAUUAGGCAACUGCGACCAACAUAGUGAUUUGCCAGAUUCAAAUGUUUUUUGUCUCCUCCAUGAACACUUAAAAAAAAUAAUGAUAAUUAAAUAUAUUAAAAAGUUAAUCAGUACAAUUAAAAUUUUAAAAGAUUGAAUAACUAACUUAAAAUAGAGAAAACUUUAAAUACCACCCAUGUGAUUUCGCACUUUUUUAUUUUCGUAUCAUGUGAUUUAAAGUGUAUUAAUUUAAUACCCCGUGAUUUUUUUUCUUUUUAUUAUUCCCUUCACUAAUUUUUUUUCGUUAAAUCAGUUACAAAGUUAAAACUAAAAGAUACUCAAGUAAUUAUUCGAUCAACGUAGGUGAGGUAUCUGAAGUUUUUUGUAUAUAAUAAUUUAACGAAAUAUUAACGGAGUAGCUGACAAAAAGAGAAAAAUGAAACCACAUGGUACUAAAUUAAUACACUUUAAACCAUAUGGUACUAAAAUGAAAAAAUGUGAAACCACAGAUAUGGUAUUUGAAGUUUACCCUUUAAAAUAAUUAACAGUUCAAAUAGACUUUGUAUGUCUUUACCAAAUAAAGUUCAGCUACUAUGCUAUCAAUAGCACUAGGCGCUUUGUGCUACAAAGUUUUUCGCCCUUAGAUUUACUCUUUUAAUCAUUUUCACCCGUUAGAUUAUAUUAUUCAACCAAUCACUCACUCAACUCUAGGAAAUCACUAUCAUCUAAGGGCCGAAAACUUACUAGCACUAAUAAUUUGGUGCUAUUAAUACUACAGUAGCCUAGUUCUACAAAAAUAAUUAAUAAUUACUAACAGGGAAAACUUCAAAUACCACCCUUGUGGUUUCACACUUUCUUACUUUAGUACAUAUGGUUUAAAAUGUAUCAAUUUAGUGCCAUGUGAUUUUAUUUUUAUCUUUUUACUAUCGAUUUUACUAGUUUUUUUCGUUAAAUCAGUGAUAAAGUUAAAACUAAAGGAUACUAGAGUGAAUACUCGAUACACCUAGAUGAGAUAUCUAAAGUUUUUUUUAUAUAUAAUUUAACAAAAUAUUAACGAAAAAGCUGACGAAAAGAUAAAAAUGAAACCACACGACACUAACUUGAUACACUUUAAACCACAGGGUACUAAAGUAAGAAACUGCGAAACCAUAGAGGUGGUAUUUGAAGUUUAUCCUUAAUAAUAGAGAAAACUUCAAAAACCCCUCCUGUGGUUUCAUACUUUAUCAUUUUAGUACCAUGUGGUUUAAAGUAUAUCAAGUUAGUACCUUGUGGUUUUUCACUUUAUCACUUUAGUACCCUGUGGUUUAAAGUGUAUCAAGUUAGUACCUUAUGGUUUUGCACUUUAUCACUUUAGUAUCUUAUGGUUUUAAUUUUGUAUCAAGUUAGUACCCUGUGGUUUUUAAACCAGAGGGUACUAAAGUGAUAAAGUGAGAAACCACAGGGUACUAAAGUGAUAAAGUACAAAAUCAUAGGGUACUAACUUGAUACACUUUAAACCCCAGGAUACUAAAGUGAUAAAGUGAUAAACCACAUGGUACUAACUUGAUACAUUUUAAACUACAGGUGAAAAAAAAUAAAACUACAAGGGGGCUUUUGAAGUUUUCCCUUAAUAAUAAUAAUAAUAAAGGAGGGAACAUUUGUAUUGUCUACAGAUGACGUGGUAGUCCAGGUCCAGUGAACAGUAUCAGGCACCCAACUGCUGACGUGGUGAACCCGGUCCACGCUCCACAAUCUCCCGAACGUAAACGAACCCCGUCACCUCCGCUCCAUGUGGCGCGCUUUUACCAUACAAACGCCACGCCCAUCCCCACCCCGUGGUUGCAUAACAAACCCCCCACCCCCCCUCCCCCCCUCCGCGCGCAACGAAAACGAAAUACAAAAAAAAGAGCUCAUAGUUGUCUCCGCACCACGCGAUACCCCUCCCUCUCUACCCCCUUCACGAGAAAGCGAGAAACUCUCUCUCUCUCUCUCUCUCUCUCUCUCUCUCUCUCUCUCCAUUCCCAUCCAUUCCCCCUUUCCCCUUUCCCCUCCACCUCUUCGAUCCGAUCGAGCGAUCGCGGCUCUAGGGUUUGCAAAUCGGAGGAGAUGAUCCCCGAUCUGUGAACGCGCGAUCGAUCGAUUUGGCGUUGCGGUGUGGAGAUUCGAGCGAAUGGAGAGGAAGAAGUACCCGAUCCGGGCGGAGGAUUACGAGCUCUACGAGAUCGUCGGGCAGGGGGUGAGCGCGUCCGUUUAUCGGGCCCGCUGCGUCCCCCUCAAUGAGAUCGUCGCGAUCAAGAUCCUCGACUUCGAGCGGGAUAGUAGCGAUCUGGUAUGGUUCGAAUCGGGAAUGAGUAACUUUGUGUUUUCAAUUUGUUUUUCUUUCCCCUUCUUUUCGAUGCUAAUUAUCGAUAUGAAAUCCAGAUCUUGUAGGAUUUGAAAUCUUGUUAUACGAUUGCUCGUUGAUCGAUCGACUAGAGUUACUGCUAAACGUUCUUUUCUUAAUCUCCCGUUCAAGUGUGUAUUAGAAACAAUUAUUAUCGGAUCAAUUUGAUCUUGUUACCUUUGGAACAAGAGGUUAUAAUAAGUAUUCAGAAUUUUUUAUCACUUUAUACAUGCAGAUCGACAAGCAUACAUGCUGUGUUGAGCUUGAAAGGAUGGUUGAGCACAUGCAAAGUUGUUGUAUUAUAUCUUUUUAAUCGAUCAAAUACAUGCAACCGUUCUGUUGUUUUAUUCUCUAUGUCAUUGAUUUAAUAUAUAAUGAACAUGCUUAUUUUGUAUUUGAAUAAUUGUCUAUGAAAGUGGCUACUUCUGAACACAGUUUUAAUUUUAUAUUAGUAAGAAAAAUAAAUGAAAAUUUUAAAAAUUGGUAGAAUAAAAGAAAAACACUAAUGCAGCGAAAUGCAUCCUCUGUUUUUCUUCUUUUUAGACUUUUUUCGAAAUGUGUGAUUUAAUCUACUGGACUAUCUUAAUGGCAGCAAUCAUGUGUCAUCGUAAGUAUUAGCAUGAUGCAUAUUAAUCACGGUAUGUAUAAUUUUCUUUGUUAUAUUCCUGAUGCUUGUUGCCUUUUUUUUUUUUCUGAGAGAGAGAGAGAUCCUUUUUUUUUUUUUUAAUUACACACUCCUCUGUUUUCUUGUGAAACAUCAUACCUGAUUGGUUGAAGGCGAGGUCUCAAUAUCGUUGUUUCUGUGCUUUUAAGUACCGCAGCAUCUUGAUCAUUUGAACGGCAUUUAUUUAAACACACACCCACACCCACACACGCCGACCCCCCCCGCCCCAACCCCCAACCCCCAACCCCAAAACCUACUUUAUGUAACAAAAGUAACUAUUUAAUUACCAAUUAUUGGACAUCACUUGAAUCUGAUAUUACUCUUUCCUGAAUGGUACUGCUGCAAUGAGAUCCUCUGGAUAUAAAAUGCAUUUCCAUGAAAGAUUUCUUCUACUGUAGUUCUUGCUUUUAAAUGACUUUCAUUUUCUUUAUACAGGGAAACAUCACCCGUGAAGCACAAACUAUGAUCUUGAUUGACCAUCCUAAUGUUCUGAAAGCACAUUGUUCCUUUGUAAAUGACCAUAACUUAUGGGUUGUCAUGCCUUACAUGGCUGGAGGAUCUUGUCUUCACAUAAUGAAAUCAGCCUAUCCUAAUGGUUUUGAGGAAGUUGUGAUUGCAACUGUGCUGCGUGAAGUCUUAAAGGGCUUGGAAUAUCUUCAUCAACAGGGUCAUAUACAUCGCGAUGUAAAGGUAAAUGAGCAUCUAUUUCUAAAAGCAUUGAUUGGUCGUCAUUACUUGCUUAUCAUUUUCUCUUCUUCUUUUUUUUGAGAAAAAUGUAGCAUGCUACCACUUCAUUCAUUUAGGAGGUAGUCUAAGCUACAAAGAGGCAACCAGGCCUCAUAGAGAGAGUUAAGAAAAAAAAAAAACAGGCGAUUACUUGCUUAUCAUUUUCAAAGACAGGCGAUUACCUGAUUUAAUUUCUCAACUACCUCUAGCUUCAUUGCCAUAAGUUAGCCCUGUGAAAAAACAGACUACUUGCACUAGCAUUAUCGCUUGAAUGGGUGAAUCACAUAGUGCAUCUCAUGCUAAAUAGGUAUUCUAAUCUUAAUAUUGGUAUGCCUAUGUGUUGUUUUGUGAACUUAUAACUUCGAUGAUUACUAUCCAAAUGGUAUUUUGCUUGCUUUUGAGAUUGUUUACUGUAUACACCAUUUUUUAAUGAGUAUAAUUCUUUAUUGAGUGUGACUUCUUUCGAUUGAUUGCGGGCACCAACCUUGUAGUUAAUAAAGUUCAGCAUGCGAUGUGAAAUUUGGCUUAUCAAAUUUCUUCCUAUAUGGUUUGGGAGCUUUUCUUGAGCACUCAAUUCCUGCUUUUGCUAUAUUGUCAGCAGAAUGUUCAAUAGAACUAUAUAAUAAUUGAUGGGGAAAUCUGUUUCAUCCUGUAUUUGCUAUCUUGUUCUGCGAAGUGUUUUAAGUGUCCUCCUAAUUGCCAUUGCUACAGUUGUCUCAUCUGCCAAAUGGAUUGUUCCAUACUAUACUUUUCUCUUUUUUUCAAGUGAUUACAUGAGAAAACAUCCAUUGAACAUACAGCCAUUGUCCGAAGGGGACACAGCUAAUUAUGUAAAUCUAAAGCGCUAAUACAUGGACUGCACAAAAUCAUGAGCCGGUUGCUUCUGUUAAUAUAGCAGUGAUUCAUCUAGUAAGCUGCUAAAUGGAGAUGAAUAGUCGUGCUUGCGCUCAGAAGCAGUUGCUUUAGAAGGCUAAGUAAAAGAUGCUGAACAUGAAGGAAAAUGAGUGGCCAAAGAUUUAGAGCAAGUUUGAAGUUGUGUAAAGGAGAGGAUAAUAGAAUGCCAAAUGGCUGAUACUCCUGUGGCCCAAGCUUCCAAAAACUGAUUAGAACAGACAGAAGAUUGAUAAAGAUGAGGGUGAUGCUUUAAGAAGUGGAAAGCUACCCAUUCACAUAAAGUGUCCUUAAUUUUAUUUUUCUCUUGUAUUUUUGUAUCAUAAACGUGGCCUCAUAGAUAUUUUGGACAAGCAUAAAUGAUCCUACACUCUAUAAUAACGAGAAACUUUGUGCCCUGCGAAACCAUAUCAUUGUUCAUGGUGCUGUCAAUGCUGGAAAUUUCAUGCAGUAUGAAUAAUUUUCUGGACUUUUCCUGAAUAUACUCACUCACUAAGAUUGAGAUAUAUUAUCUUCUCUUGCAGGCUGGAAAUAUCCUAGUUGAUGUACGAGGUGGAAUUAAGCUUGGAGAUUUUGGGGUCUCUGCUUGCCUUUUUGAUUCUGGUGAUAGACAGCGCACCAGGAAUACAUUUGUUGGGACACCUUGCUGGUGCUUAUUCUAACCUCAGAAGCAUCUUAAGAUGCCCUUAAAUUUCUAUGUUCCAGGUCAAAAUCUUUUGUUUAUUUUGAUAGGAUGGCACCAGAGGUGAUGGAGCAGCUACAUGGCUAUGAUUUCAAGUUGGUCUAUUGACAUUUCUUAGUCACCGCAUUAUCUUCUUAUGCAGAAAUCCUUGGUGUGAGUAUGUUCUCAUGCAUAUGCUUUUAAUAAUUGAUAUACAGGGCAGACAUAUGGUCGUUUGGCAUCACUGCCUUAGAACUUGCUCAUGGUCAUGCUCCUUUCUCCAAAUAUCCUCCAAUGAAGGUAUAUUUUGAAUAGAUAAUAGGAUAUCAAAUAUUUGAUAUUCUGUAAAGAGUUUGUAUGCAAUAGCUUUUGUAUUUAUCUAUAGUACGUGCAGUCAUGCACACUAGACAUCAUUUCAGUAGAUAAUAGUUGAGUCCAUGCGAGUUAGAUGACUAAAAGGGUCCUUUGUGGAAGAUAUUGCAAGGAAAGUUUUGCUUUAUAUGAAGUCCUUAAAUCUAGUUCACCUGACAGGUCUUGCUUAUGACCUUGCAAAAUGCUCCGCCUGGCCUUGACUACGAAAGGGACAGGAAAUUCUCACGGGUAUAACUCUUUUUUUAUAGCAAACGCUGCAUAUAUUCUGUUUGAAUGUGUUUCCUCACUCAUCCACUGAGUUCCCAUCUAAACAUAUAGCAAUUACUCUCAUUUUUGAAAAAUAUAGUAUAAUGAACUAUAUAUCUUCUAUCACAGUUUUUUAGGCAAAUGAUCGGUAUGUGCUUGGUGAAAGAUCCUUCGAAAAGGCCUUCUGCAAAAAAGCUCUUAAAGCAUCCUUUCUUCAAGCAAGCUCGGUCUCAAGAAUUCCUAAAUCGAAAAAUUUUGGAGGGAUUGCCCACUCUUGGUGAUCGUUAUCAGGCUUUAAAGGUUAGAAUCAUGGCUGAAUUUUCAUCAUAACAGACUAGCAAUUAGCUCUUGGUUCUAAUGAAUGUAUUGUACGCUAUAAUCUUGAUAAACAGGAAAAAGAAGAAGACUUGCUUGCACAGAAGAAAAUGCCAGAUGGAGAAAAGGAAGAGAUAUCACAGGUUUUGCUAUCAUUAUUAUAUUCCUCUCCCUGAUACUUGUUUCGUAUUGUUCAUCAGGACUGAAAAAUUCUCAUGGCACAUGCCACCAUCUGUUUAAUUUUGCUCAUUAUUAUAUUCCACUCCUGUUCUUUCUGAGAUUAGCUGAGAUCAGGUAGUGGAAACCAUUGCAAUGUGCACAUACCACUGAAGAUAUUUUUAAUGGUUUUUUCUUUUUCUUUUUUUGUUUGAAUGAAAGGUGAAGAGAGUACUAGACUACUACCCUAAAAGAGAAGUACUAUUCAGAGAAAGCAGAAUGGGUGCAAAAUAGAAUCUGUGUAUCCCCUCACAUAAUCACACUAACACAACAUGAUUUGCAGUCUUUCUCCUACUAUCCAGAACCUUCUGAACAUAGCUUGUCUUCAAUCAUGGUUAUGGAUAGUAUUCCUUUCAAAAAAUGUUCAUGGAUAUAAUUAGCAGUGUUCUACCUAGGAUAUUAUGUGGGAGAACCUCGUAAGCUCAGCCAUAUAUUGCCCUUUGGCAAGUCAGUGUACUUAAGAAGGAUUUUCUUUAUUUGUUCUUCUCUUAAAUCCACAAGAUAGCCCUGAAGAGUUUUUUUUUUUUUUUGAGAGAGAGAUAGGUAGCACGCUACCCGCUUAGUUUAUUUCAUUUAGAAAUAAAUUUAGGUAGAAAUGUGAAUCAACUAGGAUUUGAACUUGGGUCUCGGGUACCAACCACCAAGCCCUUUGCCACUUGCUCUAGGGACGGUCGGUAUAGCCCUGAAGAGUUAAUCAUCUCUUUUCUUUAUUUUGCAUUCUUAAAAUCACAGUUUUUUAUAUCAAAUGAUAAUUCUCUUUUCAUAGUUGUAAUUAGGAGCUAAUUUUUUCAUUUCACUUUUCGUAGAAUGAGUACAAAAGAGGAAUCAGCAGUUGGAACUUUGACAUUGAGGACUUGAAGGCUCAAGCUUCACUGGUAAGUGUGUGGCCUCACUACUCUUUCCAAGAAUUCAGUUGAAGUUAUUCCUGAGGGAUCACUACUCUUUCCAAGAAUUCAGUGGGUAAUAAAGUGUUAUCCUCUGUUAACCUUUGGAAUUCAUUCCUGAGGGAUUAGGGAGAAAUGGAGGAGUGGGAAGCUUAUUCACUGUUCUCCUAUUACCAUGUAUUUUGUAUUUUGUUUACUCUCAAAUAGGGUGCUCCGUGUUUAAUUAAAAAAAAAAAAAAGAAUUCAGUUGAAGUUUCCUAUAAUAAACUUCAUUAUUCUUCAGCUUCCAGAUAAUGAGGAUAAUAUUCCAAUUAAAGAUCCUGAAGGGUGCGCAAGUUCUUUGUUUGAGAUCGAUGCAUCACAUGAAAGGAACCAAGAAAGCUCGCCGUUUGCCGCCAGUUGCUCAUUGAAAUACGAAAUGGAGUCGGUAAGUUUCGACUUUCAUAUAGAUGGUGAUUUAAGAAGGUAAAAUAUGUUGACUGUUCUCUAACGGCUAGCAAGAUUGCUAGGAAAAUGAUGAUGUAAUGGCCCGAAACAAAUUCACUCCCAUUUCAUCACCCGAUCAAACUAGUUCUCAGAGGUAAAUAUUGGCUUCCACCAUUUAAUUUUUAUGAUGUUGAGAGAUGCUACACCUUGUUUUUUAAUUCUCCACAGAGAUCCAUGUGAAAAUAACUUAUACUAUCUUCCAUGAGUAUGUCAGUAGCUUGAGGCAAUUUAUUUUACAUUAAGGUUGUAACUUUAGCAUGCAAACCAUUAGUUGGCAUGGCCCAGUAUUCCAACAUGUCUGCAUGCAUUUUCUGCUGCUGGUAUAACAACCAUGUGCCUGCCCUGUAUCUGCAUAGGGAUUGUAGUUUUUUUUUCGAUAUUUUAUUCCAUUUGUUCCUAAAUGUAUUUUAUCUAAUCUUUUUAACUCUGUCAAUUGAUUAGUUGUUUAUUUCAAAUAAAUUCCAUGAAAGCAAUAUGGGCUGUUAUUUUAUUUGGACUUAAAAAUUUGGUGAAUGGCAAACUGCUCCCAAGUUUAUUCUCAAUUUCAUUGAAAUCUUCAAUGUAAAUGUAUUGUGAUGCUUACAAUGGAUAAACAAAAAGAUCUAUAAAUUGUGUCGCUAAUUUCCUAUGCAUCACAGACGUGGCUUCAUGUCCGACAUGGACGUGCCAUGGCACAUGCCAUUGAAAAAGUAUAUAUUUUUUUAUUUUACUCUUUUUAUGCAUAUAUAAUAUAAGAUGAUAAAUACUUUGGCUCUUUAAUGAAAGCAUAUGUACUCUUUUUGAACAGUAUAAAUAAAUUAUGUAUUUCUUUUCUUAUAAUAUAUGAACUAUCAAUGAGAAUUUUAUGAACUUUCAUUCAUAUGAGAAAUAUAAUAAUAUUUUAGCAAAACUAAUAUAUUAUAUAUAAUUAACAUAUUAUUAUAUUAAUAAUAUUAUAUUCUAUUAGCAUUGUCUAUGCCGUAUCCGUGUCCUAGUUUUUUGAAGCAAUUGAGUUGUUGUGUCCACGACGCCUAGCUAAUUUCAUCUAGUCAUUGUAAAAUUAAUUGGAUUAGGUGAAAACAAGGGAACAAAUUGGGAAAUCAAUUUCCCCUCAUGAAAAACUUCCAUUUUAUCAAACUUGGAUGAUUGCAAAUGCAUGAAUAGUAGUAUAAUGGGGUUUGGAAUAAAACGUCAAAAUUGUUGUUGAAAAUAUUGGACUAGUAUGGUAUUCAACGCUCCUUGCUGAACAGCCACUUGAAACCUUGUUUUACACUGUUUUGCACAUGGAUGGCUGUGCCAACCAUGUUGAUCAGCAUAUAUCAGCAUGAGCCAUGCAGAUAGCUUGUUAACAUGGUGCAGCAUCCACGCUGGCACCCUGUGCUACAUGCCUAUCUGUUUAUUCAGUGCUGCUAUAUCUCAGCCAGACACGUGAGCAAGCCCUAAGGCCAAGGUGUCAUGGUGAAGUAAGAAUGAUUUUGGUCAGAAAACCAUCACUUGUAUAAAGAAUCCCUCAUUAAGGUUACUUUUGCAAGUUGAAUUAAGUGGUACAUAGUCAGAUAUAUGUCCUGAAUUAUCUCCAAUACAGAUAUACAGUCUUGAAAAGUGAAGCAAAUUGAUUUUUCUCCUUUUUGGUACAGCACUAAAUCUGAUGCAUCUGAUAGCGAGUUUAAGACUAAUGGUACAGCUGGUCAGCAUGAUAUUAUAUCAAAUGGAAAUUGCAGAGAAAAUUGUGUUGCUGAAAGUUAUGAAUCAGUGAGUGAUGAAAAAAAUGCUGUGAGUGUUCCGGCUAAUUCUUUUCAUGAAAGGAGGUUUUCUACAAGUUCUUUCUCCUCAGAUAUUUCUUCUUUAUCAAAACUGCCAAGGUAUGUUAAAUUUCAUACAACUACAAAAGACAUUGCAUGUGGCAGUCAUCUCUGUUACUAGGCUCUCAUCAUAUUUGUACAAUAUUAACAUGGCCUACAAUUGGAUUUCAACUGCCAACCUUUUCGCUGGCUUUGGAUUUUGAAGUUUGAAUGCAAUUUAUGUUCUGUUUACAAUAGCCCCAUGCUGCAAAGUCUCUAUGAGGUUUCGCUCUGUACGCUAUAUUCUGUUUGUCAUAGUCAUAGUGCUUCAUUUCUGUCUAGAGCAACUUGUCUUUUUUAUUUUGAAUUUUGAAGGUCACACUAUCUUUUAUUAUCUACCAUCAAGAGUUACAGAAUUCAAGGAAUAUAAUCUUGUACUUUUCCUUGAACAAUAUUUCUUGCCUAUCCACAUUUAUCCCAUUAUCGUUACAUUAUAGUCAUUAUUACAAUUAUUUCCACAAACCAAAAAUUAAACUCACUUCAUUUUUGGUUACCCUGGGAUAAGAGGAUAAGCCAGGGAUUGAAAAAGGUUAUCCAACCUAAAUUUAUCAUUGAACCAAGCUGUACCUACCUAUAUGUAUAUCCCAUUAUUCUUAGUUAAAACUAAAUAAACAAGCAGUUGUACUAGGGUUGUGAUUCGUAAUUUGUGAGCCAUAAUACUGAAAUUGGGGAGAGAGAAAGAAAAGUAGAAGGGCCAAAAGAGAAAAGAGCAAGUAAAUUGGAGAGUAGACCUUCACUUCCUGAUUGAAGUCAGUGGUGAUUCUUGUGUGAUUGUUAUUCCCCAACUAAACUAAACAUUGCAAAUUUUGAGUGAUGCGUGUUUUUGUUUUCAUAGAUGUGGAUCCUCUUUUUAUUUAGAUUUGCAUAUUCAUGCAUUCUGUUGUUUUUGUUUUUGCUUAGACAUGAUUUAACUACUGUUUGGUUCUUUCAGUUUGAAACACCAACAUAGCAUGCGUGGCAUAGAGAAAGGCAACGGAGUGCCAUCCAAUGUAGUAGAUGAAGAAUCUACUGAAGGAAUACUUAAAAUAUCCAAACCAGCAGGUGUGCACAUUUAAAGGAUGUUGCAAUAUAAGGUCCCUGUACUGCUGUAACCAAAAUUUGAUUUAUAUCUGUGACAUUCUUGCUGCAGCAUCGAAUGCUGAUGAUAGUGAUGAUAAAUCAAAACCUCCAGUUGUACAGCAGAAGGGUCGUUUUAAAGUGACCUCUGAGAAUAUUGACCUAGAUAAGGUAUUCUAAAAGCACACUUUCUCCUUGUUGGUUCAAUUUGGUUUUAAUGCAGUUCUUUUUCCCUCUUCUCAAGGCUCUUCCAUCUAUUGGCAUCCCAAAGAGCCACAGCAUGCAGGUUAGUAGCAGUUCUAUCUAUUAUUUCUAUGGCAGUUACUUUCUAUGAAAGUGCCAUUCCCUGCAUUUCUACGGAAAUAUGUAAGAGUACUCUGGAUUAAAAAUAGAUGCAAUACUUUAGGAUAAUAUGUUUCGAGGAUGUAUUAGUUAUUACUUCAGUCGAGACACAUAUAUUUGAAAGACUAGAAUUUUUGCUGAAUAAGCUGUGAUAAUCAAUAUUCAUUCUAUAGUUCAUCAUAAUAUUUGCUACACCUCAGUAGUCUAUGACAUACUCAGCUAUAUUCUGCUCGUCUCUUAGCGGCUAAUGGGAAAUAAAUAAUUUCUGAUGCAUCCUAGCAUCGUUGCAGAUAAGUUGCUAAGUUUUGUGCAAUCAAAGCGUGAAAGUUUGGCAGAAUCAUUUACUUUUUCUUGUUUCAAAAACAAUAUAUGUAACUUAUGACACAGGUGAUUUCUCAGCUUCCGACAAUAAGCAUCCCUUCAACAGCUGGUUAUACAUCAAGCCUUCUUGGUUAUUCUAUUUUCCCACAGCUGCAAGGUAUUUUGCAAGCAAAUAUGCUCCAAAGGGUAUGUAUUUUCUUUUCUUCUUUUUUUUUCUUUUUUUUUUGUUGAUGCCCUUUUACAUUUCUUAUCUUCUCUCUAUUUCAGGACAAUAUUCUUAGUUUGAUGAAGCAGUUGAGCAUUAGUGAGCAAUCACCUGUUUCUGCAUCUUCAUCGAGUCGUUCCCCUGAGGGAGUAUUACCAUCAGUUCCUGCCAUUAUAACUGAAAAGUCUGCCAUUAUAACUGAAAAGUCUUUGGUAAGCGACAGCAAUAUUUGUUGUAAAUUAUAAUAAUUUUUUCUUGAUCCUGCAAACUAUGCAAUCUAUUCUUCGUUCUUGUUAGCAAUGCAUAUGCUAAUAUCAGUCAAGCUGCUUUUCCCUAUGAAAUAUAGAUAUAUCUUUGAUAUCGCGUUAGGCUUCCAUAGACCAAAUCGGUUUCAUAUUGCAGUGGCUUCAUUAUUAACACUUGAUGAAACACCCUAUAGCAUAACUAUGCUGCCUAGGAAUUGAAGCCCCAAAUGCAAAUCUAGUUAAUAUUCAGGAGGAACCUUUUAUAGUAGCUUUGUUGCAACAAAGUCAUUUAUCUAGAGUUUUUUUAUUCUGUGUAUUUCUUAGUGAUCGAUUGCAAGAACUCCUCUCUUGCAGUUAGAAGCAGCACAAGAAAGAGAGAAGGAACUGAUACAAGAAGUCACUGAUCUGCAGUGGAGGUAUUGACCUUGUCAAGAACGACCAGACGCCAUUCUAGACACAAAUAUGUGUGCCCAUUUCUAAGAUACAUCGGUUUCAUUCGUGCAGGCUGAUAUGCGCGCAGGAUGAACUACAGAGGCUUAGAGCCAGGAAUCAGUUUUGAUGCAGAUACAGCUUACUGUGCAUGAUGAUAUGAAGACAUCAAAAUGUUACACUGUCCCAGCUAUGCCGGAACUUAAAUGGUUAAAGAAAAGAAACAUUAUGGAGAUGGUGAAGCAUUUAGAGCCUUCAUUACUAAAAAAACAAGAGUUUAAGAUCAGAGCUUAGAAAAAUAUCAUGUACUGAAAUACUAACUUGGACAAAAUAAAAAUUGCUAGGGUAGGCCUGUUCAUGCUAAUGAGGACUAAUGGUAGUAGCUUGCUUGAGCCCUCAGAGUAUUCGAAUCUGUGGGUGUAAUAAUGAAUUUGAAUUGCCUCUACAUAUGCGAAUUUGUGGAUGUAAUAAUGUACACGACGUGCCUGGUUUUUUAAGUUGUCAAAAUGUUUGGAGUCUUUUAUUGUGGUAAGAAUUUAGAAUGAGCUUUUUGAACCUUUAAAUCAAAAGCUGGAACACGAAAUUUGCUAUGAUGAUUUCCAUAAGAAUUUCCGCUUCUUAUCUUAAAAUUCUUUCUCUUUUUUUCAUCUAAUUAAGUUGUAAUGGGUAAACUACAAUUUGCCCUCCCUAGGUUUAGUUUAUUUUUACUUUUGCAUUCUGUUGUUUAAAAAAUUUUAUUUUACUACUCUAUGAUUUAGCUUAUUUCUUACUUUGUCAUUAUGUGGUUCAAGAAGUUACACUUGACUAUUUUGUGGUUGGCACAUAAUUUUAUUUUCCUAUCCUAUUUGACAAUAAAUGUUUCGGAUAAAAAUAAUGAUAAAAUUACAUAAUAGUUAAGUGAUAAUUUUUCAACCACAAGAUAACAAACUAGGAAUAAGUCAAAGGACAUAAUGGCAAAUUAAAGUUUACUUGUUGUAAUAUAUAUCUUUAUGAAUUGAGCUCCUAUACUUUUAGUAGUACAAGUUAUUGGUGCUUGUAGGUUUUUAGUAUUUAGAUUAAGAAACAUAUGGUUAGGAUGAUAUAUAGUGGUUCUCUAGUGUUUAGUAAGUAGUUAGGAUGAUAGUGGUUCUCUAGAGUUGAGUAAGUGGUUGGUUGAAUAGUAUGGUUUAACGGAUGAAAAUGAUCAAAGGAAUAAAUUUAAUAGCCAAAAAUUUAUAAGCACCAAAUGCUACGUGCUUUUAAAAAUAUUAUAACUGAACUCGUAUCUUUAUAUAUUAUUUUCUUGCUUUUCAAUUAUUUACAUGAUAUUUUUACAUUGCAUUCCAUUGAACAGUCCUCACUAGUGACCGUUUUCCCCAAGAACACAUAUGGGGAGCCCAAAUAUCGAACAGUAUCGCUGUGGAAAUCGUAGGUGGACGUGCAAAUCUCGCCAGAUCAUUUUUAACGUCUUUUUUUACUUCUUUAUCGCAGAUAUUCCCAUCGUACGUACUGCUGCCCCACCAAGAGCACAUUCCCGACUGCCUCGCAGUCCACGUCGCAUCGGUUUCCGCGCCAAGCUGCUGGCCGGCUGUCCCGCUGGAAGUGCGGUUCCAGGCAGCCGUGACUGCAAACAGCUGCUGCCGCCGCCUGCAAAGGCUGCGACGCGGAGGGCACGCUACUGUACAUUCCUCCGCGCAUUCCGGCACUCAUACACGACCUUUCAAAAUUAUACAUUUGAAACAGCCAUGCAAUUUCAUAUGUGAAACAAAAUUAAUAAUAUUAGAAGCCUCACGUGACUCAAACUCAUAACUUUUUAUUUUGAUACUACGUGAAACAAUCGUUGUACUCUAAAAUUUUAAGCGGUUAGAGAACGAUAUGCACCUAUUUUUUUGAUAUUUAACAAUACAGAACUCACCUGAGCUAUGGACCAUUUUAAUUCGACUAUUCAUUUUUUAAAUUUUUAAUUUUACUAUUUAAUAUUUUAAUUUGUUUGAUUUGAGUUGGGCAACAUUAUUUUGACUUCAAAACUUUAAUAUGUCGUUUAUCUCUACAAAUACUAUACAUUUCAAGUCAAAGUACCUCUUGAUGGGUUCAAAUCAAACAAAUUAAAAAAUUUGAUAGUAAAAUUAAAAUUUUAAAAAAUUGAAUAGCUGAUUUAAAAUAGUUGAUAAUUUAUAUAAAUUGCGUACGUUUUAACCAAUCUUAAAUUAUAUAAAAUAAUAUUUUUGUACUUUUAAAUAUUCUUUUUUUUAAAAAAAUGUUGCAUUUGGAUCUGUCAUCCGAAAAACUUCAAAUACCAUACUUAUAGUUUCGUAUUUUCUCACUUUAAUACCAUAUGGUUUAAAGUAUAUCACUUUCGUGCCUUGUGGUUUUAUUUUUCUCUUUUUGUUAUCCCCUCCAUUAAUUUUUUUCGUUAAAUCAGUGACAAAGUUAAAACUAAAGGUGACUAAAGUGAAUAUUCGAUAAACUGUAGAUGGGUAUAUGAUUUAACGAAAAGUUAAUAGAGGGACUGACGAAAAAAAAAAAUUAUCAACUAUUUUAAAUGACCCUCCAUAAACUCAAAAUUGGCUAAAUGACCCUGCCAAAGUUUUAUUUAUAAAACUAACCUUCCUUUCGUCACGUGGGAGCCACCUCAGGAUUUUCUCACAAAGACGGUGAAUCGUUUACCGUCUUUGUAAUAUUUGUUGUGAAAGGCGGUGAACUAUUCACCGUCUUUAGUACAAAAUUUUUCUUUUCUGUUUUUUCAAGUCCGCCGUUCCUGUGCCCUCGAAAAGACGGGGAACGAUUCACCGUUUUCUCCCGCCUUAUGAAGACGGUGAAUGAUUCACCGUCGUAUCAAGAACACCAUAUUCUGGACUUGAAAAGAUUUGUGCAUCAGAGUAAGGAUUUGUACUAAAAACGGUGAAUGGUUCACCGCCUUAUGAAGGCGGUGAAUGAUUCACCGUCUUCACAACAAAUAUAACAAAAACGGUGAACGAUUCACCGUCUUUUUGAGGAAUAUCUGACGUGACGCCCACGUGGCGAAAGGAGGCUUAGCUUUGCAAAUAAAAUUUUGGUAGGAUUAUUUUGCCAAAUUUGAAUUCUGGAGGGUCAUUUUAUAAAAAAGCCUCUAUUUUGACUUCAAAACUUUAAUAUGUCGUUUAUCUCUGCAAAUACUAUAUAUUUCAAGUCAAAGUACCUCUCGAUGGGUUCAAAUCAAACAAAUUAAAAAAUUAGAUAGUAAAAUUAAAAUUUUAAAAAAUUGAAUAGCUGAUUCAAAAUAGUUGAUAAUUUAUAUAAAUUGCGUACGUUUUUACCAAUCUUAAAUUAUAUAAAAAAAUAUUUUUGUACUUUUAAAUAUUUUUUUUUAAAAAAAUGUUGCAUUUGGAUCUGUCAUCCGAAAAACUUCAAAUGCCAUACUUAUAGUUUCGUAUUUUCUCACUUUAAUACCAUAUGGUUUAAAGUGUAUCACUUUCGUGCCUUGUGGUUUUAUUUUUCUCUUUUUGUUAUCCCCUGCAUUAAUUUUUUUCAUUAAAUCAGUAACAAAGUUAAAACUAAAGGUGACUAAAGUGAAUAUUCGAUAAACUAUAGGUGGGUAUAUGAUUUAACGAAAAGUUAACAGAGGGACUGACGAAAAAAAAAAAUUUUGAAGCCACAGGGUACUAAAUUGAUACACUUUAAAUUACAUGAUACUAAAGUGAGAAAAUACGAAACUACAUGCGGUAUUUGAAGUUUACCCAAAUCUAAAAUAUAACAGUUACACCGACCAUCCCUAGAGCAAGUGGCAAAGGACUUGGUGGUUGGUACCCGAGACCCAAGUUUGAAUCCUAGUUGAUUUACAAUUCUAGUUAAGUUUAUUUCUAAAUGAAAUAAACGAAACAGAUAGCGUGCUACCUAUCUCUCUCAAAAUAUAAUGGUUACAUGAUGUGAUGCGGUGUCUCCAAUCAAUUAAAUUGUUCCGAAGUUCAAUCAUUCUAUUAUAAUUUUUUUUAAAUUUAAUUUAAUUAUAUAUUUUUUAAGAAAAAUAUAAUUGACUAGAGAUGUGACUUCAGUAAGAUGAUUGAGGGGGCAUUCACAGAAAUACAAGAGUCCCAGCCAACCAAUAAAGUUCGAGCCCACAGGGCCCCACAUUCUCCCACUCUGAUCAUUGCUCUGACCAAGAUCAAACGGUCCGUAUAAUUUUUGGAAUAAAAUAUCACAGGUAUAAAAAUAAGAGCCUCUGAAAAAUUCGAAGGGAAUCCCCCACUUUCUCUUUCAAUAAAAGUUGCAACAUAAAAAAAAAGAAAAAAAGAAAAGAAAAAAAAUAUAUAUAGAACUUAAUUGAAAUUUUAGUCCAUUUAAAUUAACUAUCUAAUCUUUUAAAAUUUUAUUUUUAUUAUUUAAUCUUUUAAUUUAUUUAAUUUGAAUUAAUUAACAAUUUUUUUAUUUUAAAAUUUAAGCUAAUUGCUUACUUUAGUAAAUUUAUAAUUGCGAGAAUUGCAUAUAAACUCUAGAAUUCAGAGAUGUGCGGUUAGAAUGAUAAUGAUCUCUUCGAAUUUAUAUAGUCAUUUCAGAUUGAAUCGGUGGUUAGUUAAAUAUUACAAUCUAACGGAUGAAAGUAAUCAAAGAGAUAAAUCUAACGGCGAAAAACUUAAAAGUAUCAAAUGCUUUGUGCUUUUAAAAGCACUAUAGCUGGAAUAUAUAUAUAAAUAUAAAAGAAAAACUACAUCCCUCUUUACAUUUCUCUAGAAAAGUAGAGAAAAAUAAUGACAUAUAAUAAUAAUUAAUAACAUAAUUAAAAACCAAUUUGAGGAAUUCUCUCACUUGCUAAGUGUUAAUUUACUCAACUACGGUGUUAGUGGACCGUGUCGUGCCGUGCCGUGUCGUGUCGUGUCGAUUUUUCUAUCUCGGGCCAGAUAAUUCCAUCUCUUCUACCUCAUCGAUCGACCGGGAAUCGCCGUCGUUCCAGUAACCAUCGUCGUCGUAGUGAAUCAUGUAGGUAUUUUCGUACGCACUCAGAGGAUCGUCGGUCGGAGGGGGCGGCGGCGGUGGCGGCGGCGGCCGAUUUGAAGCCUCCCACUUGUCGGCGAGGCCGUCGCCUUCGAGCAUUCGGACCACCUCCGACAUCUUGGGCCGGUGGGCCGGGAGGUAUUGGGUGCACAAGAGGGCCACUUGGACCAUCUCGGCGACUUCGAUCCGGUCGUAGGUCGGGCCGAGGUCCGGAUCCACUAGUAGCUCCACUCUCUUCUCCUGGUGGGCCUUUCUCACCUGUAUUUUGAAAAUUAUAAUUAAAAAAAUAAAGAUAAAUUAAAAAUUUUAUCAUACUCAUAGAUAAUUUUUAUCAAAAUUUAAUAAUUUUAGUUACUAAUAUUACUGAGCUAAAUUAAAUACCUAUAGGAGUAAACAAGACUGUUUAUUUUUCUUGUCAUUUCCUCCAACGAGGCAUCUGAAUUGACGAUCAGCGUAGUUAAAUACCAUUUAAUGUUUUAGGUUUCAAAUUUCAUAAAAUUUUCAUAUUAUUUGCUUAGUAUUUUAAGUGGUCUAAAAAGUGGCACAUUUUAAUGGCUAAUAAAUAUGAGCUGAAUUCCAAAUUACUUGAUCAUUAGGCAAAUGAUAUAAUAAAAUUAUCAAAAUUUAAUUUCAAAAAAAAUUAAAUAAUUUUAGAUCAUAUUAAAUAGAGUUGAUCGUUGAAUCGAAUGCUUUAUUGUUGGAACCAAUGUGAAAAUAAACGUCUCUAUUUACUUUUAAAAGUAUUCUAACUUUAUAUUUACUCAUAUAUAGAAGUAUCAUGUAGUAAUCAAUUGAAUUUGACUCCUAAAUUUUGAUAUGUAUUUUUAAUUAUAGCAAUUUAAUAUAAAAUUUUCACCUCAAUUUUAGUUCAAAUGUAUAGUUAAAUUUAACCCUAAUAAAAGUUGAUUUUGUUACAUCAUAACAUGAACUCGCCUAAAAGUCUAUUUUAUUUUAUUGUAGACUUAGCAUUUCUCUUUACUGAAUAAACUUAUCGAUGCUAUACAGGUGCAAUUGAAACAGCGAGGACGAAAUUGAAAUAUCGUACCCAGUCGAGCAUGAUGCCGCCACCGCCGCCGCCACAGCCGCCCUUGUUGGCGUGCUCGGCCGGCGGUGGGAUCGCGCGGCGGCCGGUGACGAGCUCCAGCAGCAGGACGCCGAACCCGAAGACGUCGGUCUUGUCGGACGACUGCCCCGUGGAGAGGUACUCCGGGGCGAUGUGGCCGACGGUCCCGCGCACGGCGGUGGUCACGUGGGACUCGCCGUGGUCCAGCAGCUUCGCGAGCCCGAAGUCGCCCACCGCGGCCUCGCACCGCUCGUCGAGCAGCACGUUGGCGGCCUUGACGUCACGGUGGAUGAUCUUCGGGUCGCACUGCUCGUGCAGGUACACCAGCCCCCGCGCCGCCCCCACCGCAAUUUGCUUCCGCGUGUUCCAGUCCAAUGGCGGCUUACCUGUGCACAAAUCAAUUAAAAUCCGUUACAUUAAUAUAUCAUCAGCAGUCCACAAGAUGUGCAUUAUAUAAGGACAUUCAAAUUAUUACUAAUAGGUAAAAAGAGCAAAGAAUUUAUCAGAAAUAUGAACGAUUUUGAGUCAGCAACUCAAUCUUUUCAAAUUUUGAAUUCACUAAAUCUUUCAAUUUGAUUUUAUUAUCAUCUUGAGUCACCUAAUAUUUUAAAUUUUGAUCUAACUACCUAUUUUUUUAGUUUGAUUGGAGUCACCCAACGACACUUUGACUUCAAAAUUUAAAUGCGUUGUUUAUUUUUACAUGUUAAGUUAGUAUAUUUUAUUCAAUUCUCGCAACUAUAAAUUUAUUAAAAUACACGACUAACUUAAAUUUUAAAGUAUAAGUAUAAUUGACUGACUCAAAUUAAACAAAUUGAAAAAUGAGACGAAAAAAAUUAAAAUUUUAAAAAAUUAUAUUUUAACACUCUCUUCAUUUAAAGACUACUAUUUUUUUUUACUUGUGACAUCAAUUCUUUUUUAUUUUUACUAAAAGUUAUUUAAAAUUUUUUGAAUUUUAGGAUUGAGAUGUAUAUUUAUUUUUUUAGUUGUAUAAAUAUGAAUUUUUUUUUCCAGUUCAGAUAAUUUAAGUUUAUUUUCACCUUUGCUAAUUUAUUAGCAUAUAUUAUAUAAAAUUUUUAAGACACAUCAUUUCUCUCGAGGAAAAAUGAUAACUUAUAAAAUAAUAAAAUAAUAAAAAGGAGGAAAAAAAGGAAAAAGAGGAAAGAAGAGCAUUUGGUGGGGUCCACAACGACGGUCAAAAUCAGGACCGUGAGACCGAUGCGCGUCAUCAUUAGCCGUGCGAUCACCGUCGUACGGUGAUGAUAACGACUGCGUACACAAAACCAAAUUUUUUAUACGGGGUGGGCCCACGUGACCGCAUAAGGCUAUUAUGCGGGACCAACGCACCGUUGCGGGGUAUAGAGAGAGAGACGAGACUCCCCAGGUAGGGCCCACGCUCACUUUAUACAAUAUUUUUUUGGUAAAAAUGCAUUGAGACCCCUCAACCAUGACUCGUCCUGUAAAAAGCCCCUCAAUUUUUAUUUAAUUCUACUGAGACUCUAGUUCUAAUUUGUUUUUAUUAUUGUUAACUAAAAUUUAAUUAAUUUCAAAAAAAAAAAAAAGUUAACAGAGUAUGAUAAAAAAAAAGUUGAGGGCGCAAUUUUGAAAAUGUCAAUAGAUGAGGGGCCUUUUUAAUUAUUUGCAUCAAGUUUUAAAAUAUAAUUAAUUUGGCGAUUUUAUUUUGAAUGAUUUAUGCACGUACCGCGAAGACGGGAGGCGACGCUGCCGUUAGGCAUGAACGGAUAGACGAGCAGGCGCUCGCCGGGGGCGGCGCAGAAGCCGAUGAGGCGGAGGAGGUUACGGUGUACGGCGAGGCUGAUCAUCUCCAAUUCGGUCCGGAACUGCGCCUCCCCCGGCCCGAAGAGCCGCCGACGUCCUUCAGCCGCUUCACCGCCACCGCCGUCCCGUCCGACAACCGCCCCUUGUACACGUUCCCGAACCCGCCCUUCCCGAUAACAUUCCGACGGUUGAAACCGUCAGUUGCGUGUAAUAACUCUCUUAGCGUGAACUGCCGCAGAUUCCCCGGCGCUGCCACCACCUCUCCGUCGUCGUCGUACUCCGUCUCUGAAAAAAAAGAAAAGAAAAGAAAAAAAAAAAGAGUUCAUUAAAAUCGUAAAAAUUCAUUAACUUUUGAAUAAAUAUAAGUAUUUGAUAGGGGCAAAUUAAUCACCAUUUAUACCAAGCACGAAUUUGUGCUUCUGCUUUUUCGUGCGCCGCCAUAGUAAGAAGGAAACAGUUAGUAGAAGAAGCGUAGAGACACCGAGGCUUGUGCCCAUCGCAACGGCUAGUUUUCGACCCUUCGAUCUCUCUGAAUUAAAUCAAAAAAACAAAAACAUAUCAAUAAUUAGAAAAAAAAAAAAGGAAAAACAUCAAAUACCCCCUAUGUGAUUUUAUUCUUUCUCACUUUAGUAUCCUGCGGUUUAAAGUGUAUCAAGUUAGUACGCUGUGAUCUUACACUUUCUCACUUUAGUACCCUGUGGUUUAAAGUGUAUCAAGUUAGUACUCUAUGGUUUCAUUUUUAUAUCAAGUUAGUACCCUGUGGUUUCAUUUUUCUCUUUUUAUUAUCAAUUUCGGAAUAUUUUUUUUCGUUAAAUCAGUGACAAAGUUAAAACUAAAGGGUGCUAAAAUAAAUAUUCGUUAAACCUAGAUAGGAUAUUUGAAGUUUUUUGUAUAUAAUUUAAUGAAAUUUUAAACCACAGGAUACUAGAGUGAGAAAGUGCGAAACCAUAUGGUACUAACUUGAUAUAUUUUAAACCACAGGAUACUAAAGCGAGAAAGUGCGAAAUCACAGGGUACUAACUUGAUACACUUUAAAUCACAGAAUAUUAAAGUGAGAAAGUGCGAAACCACAGGAGGGAUUUGAAGUUUUUCCAAAAAAAAAUGUAUAAAGCCUCACUUAACAUGCAUAAUA
Molecule: long non-coding RNA, 63291 nt
Filed under: Ananas comosus (pineapple)
Lineage: Eukaryota; Viridiplantae; Streptophyta; Magnoliopsida; Poales; Bromeliaceae
Description: long non-coding RNA (ACOM_LNC002866)
Source: RNAcentral